This 57418-nucleotide long non-coding RNA is filed under the name Phaseolus vulgaris (common bean). Its description in RNAcentral is "long non-coding RNA (PVUL_LNC004609)". The record is from RNAcentral. Lineage: Eukaryota; Viridiplantae; Streptophyta; Magnoliopsida; Fabales; Fabaceae.
CUCAACAAAACUCAAAUUCGUUUUGGAAAUUACAAAGGAAAAUCUGAUUAUGUGAAAAAACCUAUUCCUAUCGAGGGAUUACGAGGAUUAUUGCGUUUGCUUUGUGACGCUAAGGUUGAAUAUCCUCUAGUUCAAUUGGCUCCUUACGGGGGCAUAAUGAACGAGAUUUCAGAGUCUGAAAUUGCGUUCUCGCACAGAUCUCAAUACAUUUAUCAUAUACACUAUGGGGUCACCUGGCAAGAGGAAGGGGACGAGAUAGCACAAAGGCAUAUGGAUUGGAUUAGAAGACUCUAUAAAUAUAUGGAACCUUAUGUUUCAAAUUCUCCAAGAGCUGCAUAUAUAAAUUACAGAGACCUUGACAUUGGGGUAAAUAACAAUGGUUUCACAAGCUACACCCAUGCCAGCAUUUGGGGUUUGAAGUAUUUCAAUAAUAACUUCAAGAGAUUGGCUAAAGUGAAGACCAAGGUUGAUCCUAAAAACUUUUUCAGGAACGAACAAAGCAUUCCUAUACUGUCCGUGGAGACAAUCCAGCAUAAGAGAAAACAGCUGAAAGUACCUUGGAGACAACCCACAACCAAGACUUUAGUUGAAUAAGCGUAAACACUUUCGAAACACCCACCACUCCCCCUUUCAAAAUUACCUUAUUCAUGCGCCUCUAAAUCUCAUUUAAUACAACAGUCCAGAUGGUUCCCCAAAUCACAUUAACAAAUUCUUAUGCACUACACAUCCUAAACUGUAGGAAGUGAAAGAAAGCAUCAGAAUGAUCCACAGACGCCAAACCUAACCAAGCGUAACACUGACUCCUGACCAACCAAGCUAUUAUGCACUAAAAAACAAAUGACUAUAGGACUCCUCUUCCACCCUGCACAUAAUACAUCAAACAUUCCUGAGCUCUACCCCUCUCCUUACCAAAUUUCCUUUGGUGGCUAACUUAUUUUCAAAGACCCUCCAAGCAGUGACUUGGGCCGAAGGCAAAACCUUAGUCUUCCAAAACAUAACAAACCCAAUAUUGAUCCUCCCUUCAGGCUCACCCCUUAAGAGAACAUAAGCAUAAUUAAUCGUGUACAUAGAGAACUCAUCGUUCUUCUAGACCCAGCCAUCAUCCAUAUCCAAACUAGCCUCAGUCCUUGGAGCAUCUCAAAAUGUUGUCUUUCUAUAUCCUUUUCCCACUUGAACAAGUUCCUUCUCCAAAGAAGAUUCCACUUUCAGACUCCGUCAACCAAAUACCCACACUCAGCCACUUUAGACUCCGGCAGACAGCUCAAAGAACACAAUCUUGGAAAAACACUCUUCAAGUUACUGCACCCCUUCCAAUUAUCUUCCCAAAAACUGAUAGACUUCCCAUUUUCAAUCUUCCACUUGAAACGAUCUUCAAACCUCCUUCCCCAACUCUCAAACUCCCAAACCUCUUUCAAAACUUUCCACCAAAGGGACAUCUUAGCAGGAUUCCUUUGUUCUCUCAGACUUCUCCACCCUCCGUAUUUAAACUCAAUAACAUCCUUCCACAAGCCUCCCUUGUCUGUCCCGAGACGCCAAAUCCAUUUCCCUAAAAGUGCUAUAUUGAAAACUUUCAAAUCAAUAAUGCCAAGACCACCUACCUCACAGGGCUCACAGACUUUCUUCCACGCAGUCCAAGCAAUUUUUCUCCCCUCCAACCCCCACCCCUAAAGGAAACGCCUCUAAAUUUUGUUGGUUUUAUUAGUGUCUAAGUUCAAGAGGAGGGUGAAUUGAACUUAUAAAAUUUUCAAAUAGAUUCAGGUAUUUCACGAAAUAUAGUAAAAGAAUCGAUUUAUUGAUAGAAAUUAAAAAUUAACUAGUACACUAGAAAAUACUUUAAUUUUAAUUCGUUCAAUAUUAUUGAUAAAAGUAUCUUAAAAACUUUUCCGUGAUUAUGAUUUGAUGAUAAUCGUUAAUUUAUAAAAUUCAUAUUUGUAGACAAUAUUUCAUGAGUGUAACAUGUUUAAAUGAAAAAGGAAAACUUAUCUUUUGACACUGAAGCACACACUUCACAAUUCUUUAUAAUAAUAUAAUAGUAUUUUUAAUUAAAAAAUAAAAUAAAAAUAUUAAUGUUUUAUGAUGUUACAUUUCACAACUCUAUCAUAAUAUAAUAAUAUUUUAAAUUAAAAAAAUAUAAAAGUAAUUAAAAUAUUAAUAUAUCACUUCUCAAUAAAAAAAAAAGUUGUCAGAAAAAUAUAUUAUUAAAUUUUUGAAUAUGGUAAAUAAAACAAUAAGCAGUGAAAAUCCCUUAUUUAAUUCCUUCUGUGUGCAAGCAACUUUUUCUUCUAUAAAAAUGCUCGAUACUACAUAUCGAUAGCUAUUAAAAAUAUUUAUUUAACUGAGUUUCUCUUUAUUAAAUAUGAAAUAAUGAAAUAACAAAAAAUUUAGACAUUGUUCACAUAAGUUAAAAUAAUGUAAUUUUUUUUGGUGCUUACUUUUUUUUAUUAAAAAAAGAAUUAAAAAAUAAAAAUAAAUCACUUCAGGAGUGUUCCUGCCCUUAUACAAAUAACACUUUAAACUCUUCCUCACUCUCAAGAAAUAUCCACUGAACAAACAAGACCACAAUACUAACAUAAGACACUCACAUCAAAAGAUCAAAAAGUCAGCCUCUGUAGGGAUAUUGUGUGCGGAAACGUAAUAAUUUCAACCAAAAGAUUAUGAGAAAUUAAAGUAACAAGUAAAGUGAGAAUGAUACCAAAAUUUUUAUGUGGAAAACCCCUUUAAAUAGAGGUAAAAAAACCACCGGCGAGAGAGCCAAAACUUCCACUAUAAUGGUAUUGGGAGUACAAUGAAUUCCUCUCAAGCUAAUAGAUAAAUAGCCCUAAAACAAAUUCUCUCUAUAUGGGUUAAACACUUACACCCAAGAGAAGAAAUAAAGAGUAUAGGAAAAGAGAGAGGAAGCAAGUGUGUGUUGUUGCUUGUUGUGUGUUACAUUGCUUGAAGGAAGCCACUAUAUAUAGUGGUUCUAGGAGACAACAAUAAUAAAUACAACUAAUGGUAAUUAAUCUCCCUUUGAUGACAAUUAAUUGUAGUAAGAAACCUCCAUUUGAUUACAAUUUAAUUGUGGCAAGUAACCUCCCAAUUAUGCCAAGAAAACGGAAAUGUGAGUCAUAACCCACAAAUCUCCACCUUGACUUGCCUUUGACUGGAACACUAAGCCUUGAUUAAGUAUGGAUAAUACCAGCUAAGUUCAGGCAAUGAUCGAACUUAGCCGAUGGAAGUGGCUUGGUCAACAUUUCUGCAGGAUUUUCGGCCGUAUGAAUUUUUUCAACAAUUAUAUCUCAUGUAUCAACAAUGUCUCGGAUAAAAUGGUGUUUAAUUUCAAUGUACUUGGUCCUUGAGUGAUACUUACUGUUCCUGGUUAAGUGGACAACACUCUGACUAUCACAAAAUAUAACAAGAACAUCUUGUUGAAGACCAAGUUCACUUACCAAGCCUCGAAGUCAUAUAGCCUCUUUCAUACCUUUUGUAGCAGCAAUAUAUUCUGCUUCAGUGGUGGACAAAACCGCAAUGGCUUGAAGUGAAGAAUACCAACUGAUAGCAGAUCCACAUAGGGUAAAAAUGUAGGCUGAAAGUGACCUUCUCCGAUCUAAAUCACCACCAUAGUCAGCAUCAACAUAGCCAACUGCUCAUCCGAGAUCGGCUCUAUGUUGAUCAAAUACCAAACCAAGAUUUGGAGACCCUUUCAGAUAACGAAGUAUCCAUUUAACGGCUUCCCAGUGUGCCUUGCCUGGAUUAUGCAUGAACCUGCUAACAAUGCUAACAACAUAAGCUAAAUCAGGUCUAAUACAUACCAUAGCAUACAUGAGACUUCCAAUUGCAUUUGAAUACGGGACAUGUGACAUGCGCCUUUUGUCCUCGUCUGAUUUUGGACACUGAUCUGAUGACAACUUGAAGUCGGCGGCAAUUGGAGUAUUAACAGCUUUGCAAUCUCGCAUUCCAAAUUUGUCAAGCAUCUUAAGAACAUACUUCUUUUGUGAUGAUAGAAAAAGUUUUCCAGCUUGACGAUCUCUGUUGAUCUCCAUUCCUAAAAUUUUCUUGGCAGGACCUAAGUCCUUCAUAUCAAAUUCACUACUAAGCUGAGCCUUUAACUUGUUAACUAAAAAUUUAUCUCUUGCAGCAAUCAACAUGUCAUCAACAUAUAACAACGAGUAUAUAAAUGACCCAUCAUAUGUCUUUUGAAAAUAGACACAAUUAUCAUAGCUACUUCUGGAGUAACCAUUUCCAACCAUGAAAGAAUCAAACCUCUUAUAGCAUUGUCUUGGUGAUUGCUUCAAGCCGUAGAGAGAUUUCUUCAGACGACAUACAUGAUCCUCCUUUCCAGGAACAACGAACCCCUCAGGCUGCUGGAUGUAAAUCUCUUCCUCAAGAUUACCAUGAAGAAAAGCAGUUUUCACAUCUAACUGUUCCAUCUCCUAAUCAUACAAGGCAACUAAAGCAAGUAAUAUACGUAUUGAAGUAUGACGAACAACAGGAGAAAAUACUUCAUUAAAGUCAAUACCUUUCUCUUGGUCAAAACCUCUUACAACAAAUCUUGCUUUAUUCCUUGUACUCUCAACACCAGGGAUCCCUUCUUUUCUCUUAAAGAUCCACUUGCAACUAAUGACUCGUUUUCCUUCUGGUAACUUCACCAAUUCCCAUGUUUCGUUUUUUAGAAGACUCUCAACUUCUUUUUGCAUAGCAGUAAUCCACUUUGUUGAGUCAUCACCAGAGAUAGCUUCAGAGUAAUUCUUGGGUUCACCUUCUUCACCCAUCUCUUGUGCAAUAGUUAAAGCAUAAGCAAUGUUGGCAGAUUCUGCAAUUAAUCUUUGAGUCGGUUUCCUUGGUCUCUGUUGUGGAAGUUCUUGAGUCAUAGACCACGGCUGUGGUAACCCUCGUCGUUAAGGUGGACAUUGCUCAUGUGGACUCAAAUGUUCAUUUGUACCAUCAGUAGCAAUGAUUUGAUCACCUUGAGUACUGGAGGAAUUGAGAGCGUCUUCCUCAUGAGCGGGUGUUUUAAUCUCAAACUCCACAUUCUCUCGAGCAUCUUCCUGGUCACCUGUAUCAAUUAAGGAAAUGACAGUAUCUCUUACAAAAGAGAGCAUAGCAUUUUCAUUAAAGAUCACAUUCCGACUGUGAAUUAUUUUGUGAGAUUCUGGGUCAUACAAACGAUAGUCUUUAACCCUUGAGCCAUAACCCAAGAAAAUGCACUUCUUUGUACGAGGUUCUAAUUUUCCCUCGUUUACUUGAGAAUAAGCAGAGCAACCAAAUAUUUUAAGAUUAGAAUAAUCAACAGGGUUACCUAACUAAACUUCUUAUGGAAUGUUGCAAUCAAUUGAUCUGUUAGGAGAGCGAUUUAUCAGAUAACAUGCCGUUGAAGCCGCUUCAGCCCAAAAAGAUUUGCUCAAACCAGAAUACGAGAACAUGCAACAAACUCUCUCUAGGAUAGUUCUAUUCAUUCUUUCUGCAACCCCGUUCUGUUGUGGAAUACUUGGGAUGGUGAAGUGUCUGGAAAUGUCAUCCUUCUUGCAGAAAUCAUUGAAUUCAUUCGAACAGAACUCAAGGUCAUUGUCUGUCCUUAGCCUCUUUAUCUUCUUGCCAGUCUGAUUCUCAAUCAAUAAUUUCCACUCUUUAAAAGUGGAAAAUGCUUCAUUCUUAUGUUUGAGAAAAUACACCCACAGUUUUCGUGAGAAAUCAUCAAUAAUUGUCAUCAUAUAACGACAUUUACCUCUAGAGGGAACUUUUGACGGACCCCAAAGAUCCGAAUGAAUAUAAUCCAAAGUACCUUUGGUUCUGUGUAUGGCUUUAGAAAAACUAACCUUUUUCUGCUUACCGAAAACGCAAUGUUCACAGAAAUCAACCUUUCCAGUACAGUGGUUACCAAGGUGACCCUUCUUCUUGAGGAUUAGAAUUUCCUUCUCACUCAUGUGGUCUAAUCUCAUAUGCCACAACUUGGUGUUAUCUUUGUUGGGUGAGGCAACAGCUGUAGAACCUGUUACUGUUGAACCCUGCAGCACAUACAAACUAUCACAUCGAAUUGCCUUUAGUAACAUAAGAGCUCCUUUAGACACUUUUAAAACUCCACCUUCAGCUAAGUAUCUACACCCAUGAGAUUCAAGGGUGCCUAAGGAAAUGAGAUUUCGUUUCAACUCGGGGACAUAUCUGACACCUGUUAAAGUUCUAACAAUUCCAUCAUGUGUCUUGAUUUUGAUUGUUCUUUCACCAACAACUGUGCAUUGAGCACCGUUUCCCAUCAAAACAAGACCAUUAUAAAUUGGUUCAAAUGUGGUAAACCAAUCUCUAUUGUGAGAGAUGUGAAAAGUGUUGGGUUUAAUAGUGCCAAAGUUCAAGAGGGGGGGUGAAUUGACCUUUUAAAUCUUUCUCGCAGAAACAGUGUUUAACACAGUUUACAGAAAAUAAAUCGAUUUAUGUGUAAAUGAACAGAUUUAUUUUGGCACUAUUUGUGUUUGAAAAGCGUUUAUACAGCAAGGUUAAUCACUAGAUUAUGCAGAUAGAUUUUCCAGACGCACACACACUGAUAUUAGAUUUGAAAAACAGUGAAUCACCAAAACAGCAACCUUCAAUUUCAAGCAAGUGAUUAAGGUUCAAUUAAUGGCUUGACAGUUUAUUGAGUGAUCUAAUCAACAUGUUCUAAUGGCUUUUAACAGAUUAUAAGUGUUCUUAUUGAAAUCAACCGGUUUUCCAGAAAUUAAGAACAAUAUGAACCGUGCCCAGAAAGAACAGAUUUAUUUUUAAUUGAACAGAUUUAUUUCUUUGUUGUUUUAUGAAUUAUGCAGAAACUUAAUUGCAGAGAUUGAGAGAGAAUGAACACAAGGCAGUUAUACUGGUUCACUCAACUGAGCUACAUCCAGUCUUCACCUACCACAAGGUGAAAUUCACUAAAUCACAAUACAAACAAACACAAUUCCCACUGUUCUUGAAACCUACAAGAACUUAGGUACUCUUGCUGAAAAAACCUAUUUCAGCUCACACACACUCUUCAAGAAAACCUAUCAAGAAGAGUGUUCAACCAAACUAUUACAAGAAAUGAGAAGUGAAACGACUACACCUGAUUGAGGAUACAAAGAUCUGCCUUAAACUAGUAGGCAAGAUUGCUAGAACAGUAGCAGCACCUCACACCAAGCUUUUGGAACCAAACCAAGAACAAGCACUUUGUGAUUUUCGAAAUCUUUGAAGAACAAAUGCUAAUCCUUUGUAAACUCUUAAUUCUCUUCUGUAAAACUUGUUUUUACAAAUGUAUGAACGAUGUUUUAACUCAGAAACAAGUUUUCAUUUUAUAGAAAACCAACUUAUAAAAGAAUUUUGAAAAACAGUUAAAGCUGUUAUAAAAUGAACUUAUUGAAAAUGAAAUGAACAAAUUUAUUUUCAAAAGCAGUUAGAGAAUUUGUUAAGUGAGGAGACUUAGUCAACCAUUCUGGUGUAGAGAUAAAACUGAAAAACGUUUAAGCUAGAUAUGGCACCAGAGACAAAAAAAAUCUAUUCAUUUACAGAUGAACAUAUUUAUUUUUCAAAACAAAAACAGAAAAGCUUAACUAUUUGAAACACAGUUGUUUUGAAAGAUAGAAGACUUAGUCAAAAUACAUGAUGCACAAAAUCAAAUUUUCACAAGACUUAGCCAAGGCAUCAGUGUAAAAAAGAAUCUGUUUAUUUAGAAAAGAACAUAUUUAUUUUUAUGCAGUAAACGUGUUGUUUUGUAAAACAUGUGAAAAACAGUUUAAGAAAACUUAUGCUUGUUCUUAUCACAUGGCCAGUGGUUAUGAGGUGAGUUACUAAGCAAAAAGCCCACUCUUAGACAACCUCUAAGCACUACCUAAGACACACUUAAAGCAAAGCCAAAAUACACAUGAAAUGUACAUAGAAGUCUUCAUCAAACACAAUCUUGAAGGGGCAACAACCAUCUUCAACAAAAAGUACAACCAGAAUCAAGAAUCCAUUCAUUUUUAGACCUUUGUUUAGUGUUGGAAGCUACAAAACAAUCCCCAUCAGAUUCAGUUUCAACAAUACUAGCUUCGACAAUUUUUUCUGGUUGUUUACCAUUUCCCUUAUCUUCUCUAUCUUGCUUAUUUUUCAAUUUAUAACAUUCAGAGAUCUCGUGUCCCUUUUUCUUGCAAUAACGACAAUAUUUGGAGUUCUUGCCUGUACAUUUUGACCUAGAUUUAUGUUUAGUGUUCCUACCUUUCUCUUGGUUUCUCCCUCUAACUUGAACUAAUCCUUCACCAGAACUUUCAAAAUGAAUUUGAGUAUCAAAUAUUUCUUUGGCUAGUAAAUUAGUCUUGACAUCAUCAAAGCUUAAGGUAAGAUAAUUACCGUAUAACAUAAUUUCUUUGAAUUGUCGAUGCGAGGGUGGUAGAGAAACAAUAUGUAGAACUACUUUAUCCUCAUCAAUUUUAACAUCCAAAUUUUCCAAAUCAAUUAUGAUGGAAUUAAAUUCAUCAAGGUGAGAUUGGAUGGGAUUCAGACAUUCAGNNNNNNNNNNNNNNNNNNNNNNNNNNNNNNNNNNNNNNNNNNNNNNNNNNNNNNNNNNNNNNNNNNNNNNNNNNNNNNNNNNNNNNNNNNNNNNNNNNNNCGCUCCUUUAACCGGAGUUUGUUUGCAAGACUUUUGGUCACGUAUAGAGACUCCAAUUUACUCCAUAUGCCUGCUGUAGUUUUCUCGUUGAUGACCUCACGCAACACCUCACGGGACAAGCAUAACUUGAUUGCAGCAAUGCUUCAUCAUCUCAUCCCAUGCUCCUGGUCAUAGUGGUUGGUCUCAUCAUUUUACCUGUCAAAACUUUCUUUAAACCAUUCUGGGUGAGAACAACUAGCAUCUGGACUCGCCAGAUAACAAAGCUGAUUUUACCAUCAAAUUUCUCAAUAUCCAAUUUUGACAUUAUUGAACAACAGAUCCUGGUUGAAUUAUCGAAAAGCUCUGAUGCCAAUUUGUAGGGAUAUUGUGUGCGGAAGCGGAAUAAUUUCAACCAAAAGAUGAUGAGAAAUUAAAGUAACAAGUAAAGUGAGAAUGAUACCAUAAUUUUUAGGUGGAAAACCCUUUAAAUAGAGGUAAAAAACCACCGGUGAGAGAGCCAAAACUUCCAUUAUAAUGGUAUUGGGAGUACAAUGAAUUCCUCUCAAGCUAAUAGAUAAAUAGUCCCAAAACAAAUUCUCUCUAUAUGCGUUAAACACUUACACCCAAGAGAAUAAAUAAAGAGUAUAGGAAAAGAGAGAGGAAGCAAGUGUGUGUUGUUGUUUGUUGUGUGUUACAUUGCUUGAAGGAAGCCACUAUAUAUAGUGGUUCUAGGAGACAACAAUAAUAAAUACAAUUAAUGGUAAUUAAUCUCCCUUUGAUGACAAUUAAUUGUAGUAAGAAACCUCCAUUUGAUUACAAUUUAAUUGUGGCAAGUAACCUCCCAAUUAUACCAAGAAAACGGAAAUGUGAGUCAUAACCCACAGCCUCAUACAAAUCAUUGAAUCCAAACACCAAUUAGAAAAAGAAAACAACCUAAAACGAGACUUAGAACAAAUCCAAGACCAAACCUUGACUUGAACCAUUACAAACAUUUCAGACACAUCGGCCUUUCCCCUAUUAAAAAUGAUAUUGUUCCUGUGUUUCAAAAUUUCACUCACGACUCCAAAACAAAUUGGGGAGGGAAGUUUGAAGAUCGUUUGAAUUUGGAGGUCGGAAACGGGAGAGAGGUUAUGUUUUGGUUAAACAAUUGGAUAGACUCAGAAGACUUGAAGAGCAGAUUUCCAAGGUUAUUUUCUUUGUCUGUAAAUAAGGAGGGAAAUUUAUGUGAUUGUGGAAUAAGGGAGAACAGGACGUAGGAGUGGAACAUAAGGUGGAGAAGGGGCCUGUUCGCUUGGGAAGAGGAGCAAGAAAGUCAACUUUUAGAGUUGAUCUCUAAUAAGAAGCUAGAGAUGGAAACAGUGGAUAAAAUGCGUUUGGAAGGAUGGUGAUUUAACAGAGUUUUCAGUUAAGUCCGCUUAUGGGUUUUUAAGGGGAGAAGGAAGUGAGGAAGACUUAAAAAGAUAUAAAUUUUUUUGAGAAAUUAAGGCGCUCCCCUUAGCUCAAGUCACAACUUGGAGAGUGUUUAAAAACAAGGUUGCUUGUAGGGUUAAUCUGGAGAGAAGAGGAAUCAGGAUCGGGAGUAAUCUAUGUUGCUUGUUGUACCGUCCCGUACCUGGGCGUUGACUAAGUCAAGGUCAAAGUCAACACCAGGGGCAAAAGUCAACACAGGGUGUCGCCUAGGUGAAGAGAACUAAGUGCCAGCGUCGUCAAGAAAGAGGGCGUCGCCAAGGCACGGCGUCACCUAGAAGGAGGCGUCGCCCAACCAGGGCGUCGCCAGAUCAAACAUUACCAAAGUAAGGCAAUCACAGUGUGGUUCCCCGAUACCCAUGGGUAGGAAAGACCAUGGAGGGAGCCACACCGUGGGAAGGCCUCAGGUCCCGAUAGCCCGGGGCAGCGAUAAAGAGAACGAAAAGGUGGCUUCAAGGCCAUAGUGAUAGCACCAGUAUAGGGCAGCCUGACUCGUGAAGUACCCCUGCUGCCCCAGAGACGCCUUUGGGACAGAUACGACUCAAGAGGAAGGUCACGCCCAGGGUAGCCGGGUGCAGGGUACGAGAGGAAGGCAGAUACGCUCUCAAAGUAAGUGACUAGAUAAUUGGGGGCAUGAGUUGGCACCCAAAAAGUCACCCCUAGCGCAGUAGCACUCCCAAGCAGGAGGACUCACACAUAGAAACGUCCCCAGAUGGGCAGAAACGCCCCAAGAUGGGGUCAAGGCGUCGUGAGACCCUCCACGUGUACGACAGCCAGGUCAGAAUAGAAACACCCUUUAGUCAGGUGCCAGGUAAUUAACGUCAUUCAAUACAGUUUCCGUUUCGAGCGUUCAGGUGCUAUGAUGGCUCCCAAGCAUUUCAACGUCUUAAAUGCGCUAUGUUUUCUAAUUAAACGCUUUAAUGAGUGCGUUACGUUUGUGAUUAAAAGCGCUUUAAGGCGCUUUAAAUGCUUGGGUAGUUUAAAUAGCGCGGAGAAUGUUGGAAAGGGGGUUCGAACUUUUGGCAAAUUUACCAGAACUCUCUAGUUGCUUGCUCGUGCCUUGAGGUUACGUACAAGGGACUGGGGAAAGAUCUUUGCCUGAGGGAGAAAACAUACACACAACACACAGUUCUUUAUACCACCUUCAGAGUGCCAUACGCGGUGCUCAGAUACGGAGGUGCCCAGUUUUGGUGUUUCUUGCUGGCUGACUUGAGCGUCGGAGUGCAAACGUCCGCUAGGGCGCCCUUUUGUCCUCUUUUUGCAGGAAUCCACAGGUAACCCGUGGGAAGGAGUCCCUAGCUGACGGUUGAGGUCGCGCACGAAGACGCCCCGGUCAACCGGACGGAACACUUGUGUAGGAGGUCAGAUGAGACAACAAAUCAUUUGUUCUGCGAAUGCAAAGUUGCUUGGCUAAUUUGGAAUCUUUGUUAUGACUGGUUAGGAAUAAGAUCAGUCAAUUGUAUGGAUCCUGGGUCUCAUUUUGAACAUUUCAAGAUUCUAGAUGCACCUAUUUCAGUUAAUCUUAUUAUGGGCAACUUGUGGAUUGCAUUGGUUAGCGAGAUAUGGAGGCACAAGAAUAACUGUUUAUUUAAAGGUGGAGUGGUUGAUCAUACUGAGGUUUUCUCUCUGACACAGAUUAAGGUUUGGUCCUGAAUCUCAUCAAAGAUACCGUCAGCUUAUUUCUCAUUCUCUGAUUGGUGUCUUGAACCCUUGGUAUGUAUGCAUUCAAUUUAGUUUUAUUUAAAAGGUUGAUCCUCGUGAUUCUUUUAUUAUUGGUAGAGAUGAGAUAGACAGUAGGAGGUAUUUUUGGUUGAUAUGUAGAUGGAAAGGUUCUUUGGGAGUAUCAUUUUACUGUAUAAGGGUUGGACCACUCCUAAAGUGAUCUCAUUUAAUUUCAUUGCUAUUUACUGAAAAAAAAAGCAUAAUAAUUAAGAAUUAGUGUCUAAAACAGUCUCCUUUUUUCUCAUUAACAUGUAUUCAAAACCUUAUAUAUUGUGUACAGUUGUGACAUUCAUAGAAAGUCUCUCUGUAUCUAGUGUGGUAGACAUUGAAUAGCAUCCUCCUUCCAUCCAACUUUUAUUAUGCUCUCUUGCACAAUAGAUUAUUCAUCAGCCCUAUGAUGAUCUACAUUUGCAAUAAAUUGCUACAUAUCCAUGUUUUUCUUUUUCAAACACUUACUUACCUUUUCUCUUUUAUUUUCUACAACCCUAUUCUUGAAUUUCUUGUGUUUUAAGAAUGAUUCUAAAAAUGUUCACAAGUCACUAUCUCUUUGUUCUUUUUGGCAUUCCAACUUUCAAGCUGUAAUAUUGUUGAUGGCACUGAUUAUUUCUUCUCACCACAAGGAGACUAUGACAAAGUUGGGGUGUAUACAUGGCAUUUUGUAAGGAAGUCAACAAACCCACGAAUUUGUAUUUCCUUAAUAUGGUCAGUUGCUCCAUAAUGUUUGAAACUCUACCAUUUCUGCAACUUUGAAUGUACAAUUAUUAGAUAAGAAAUCCAAUGUUGUAAAAUCUUCAUUGCUUACAUGCUUUUGUACCUACCUAUUGACACUUUAAUAGCUUAUGUUUAUUGUGUUCUUUAAAUAAUUAAUCUGCUUUUGUUUGAUGACGUGAUUUAGAAGUUAUUUUCAAUAUCUAUGAUAUUUUCUGAAAAUUAGUUUCUGUUUAAUUUUACACUUUAGAAGAUUCUUACCAUCUAUGUUACAAUCCUACAACUAACUAUCUUUCACCCCUUCCCGAUCCUAUAUGAAAUCUUCAUUUUGACAACAUUGCUUCAACAUUGCUCACCUAAUUCACUAUUUUAAUUUUUAUUGCUUCCAGGUCUAGGACAAGUGUAAGUAAAGUUGGGAGAUUUUAAAAGUGCACUAAAAUUUGUAAAGGUCCUAGAGGUAUACCUGGAUAAUUGUGAGACAUUGAAGGUAAGUGCUUCAAAUUGAAAGAAAUUUUAGUUCACAACCCUCCCCCUCCCUCUUUUGCAUCAUUUCUCUUUCUAGGGCUUGAAUGCUUUUGCAGCAGCAACCUAAGACUAAUUUAACAUCUAACUUUAGGUAUGCCAUAAAUUGGAUAAAAUCAGUUGGGUACGCCUCUUUCUAUUUGGUGAAAUUGGUUUAGACCAUAAAUUGUAGAACAAUCUUUAAAAUCAUGUAUUGUUGAACUUCAAUAACUCCAAAUUUCAUGAUCAUCUAUAUAUUUAUGUAUGCUAACAAGCUUACAUUAAUUGUUUUCUUCAAAUCUGUUUGGGAAAAGUUGAAGAAGGAAAUUCAUGGUAAAAAUAUUAGUUAAAGAAGGAUUGGUUUACAAAAUGUGAAAGAUUUAACAUUCUUACACCAAAGUGGUCAUUCCCUUACUCAUUGACCAAUUAGGUUAUUAAUUAUUAAUUAAUUCAAAAACAUUUUUAACAAAAAAUGUUUUUAUAAUUUCCCCAAAUUUUCAUCGAAUGUUAUUGAAUGAUACCAAAGGGUAAUCAAUGUAAAAGAAAGUUGUAGACUAAGGUACAAAAUUGAUGAUUAAGUUUGUGUAUAAAGUGAAAGUUGUUAGAACAACUAGAUCAUAUCUUUUUAUCUGUCAUUGGAUGUUCUUUUUUCCUUCUCUCAUAUUGUUGUGUUGAUAUAUUGUCUUUUAUUAUAGGCGUUUGGGUAUAUAUAUGUUUAGCUUGGUCAAACUGACAAAGGGCAACACUUUAUUAGGAGAGCUACAAAAAUUGAUUCCCAGGAUGCCUAGGUGAAUGCUUUUGGUAUUUUUUUUAAUUUAUUGAACACUGUUUGCAUAGAUAUUUUUAAUUAUUUAGUGUUCCAUGUGUUGUGCAGUAUAAUGUUUUGCUACAGUUGUUUCAUUACUUAUUGAGUCCUUGUUCUACGAUGAAAAACUUUAUUAGGUUCAACUUGUUAUUUAUGCUUUUAUUUGAGUUGGUGGAGAUAUUUAAUAUUUCUUUUUCUAAAUAUGAGACUAGAUAUAUUAGAAUAAAAAUUGUCAUUUGCUUUGUGUCUUUCGUUUUUGGUGAAGUAUUUUUUUUCCAAUUAAUAUUGUUGUUAGCUCUUCCUUUUUCUGAUGCAAUUCUUCAUUUCUUGAUAUAUAAUUUCAUUAAUUAAAAUUCAAUAGAUUUCGAAUUGAUUCCUUUGGUGUAGCUAAAAGUGAAAUUGAUAAUCGAACCAACAUUCUUGAUCUAACUUCAGCUGUUGGUUUGUUCUUGAAAAAGAUUCAUUGUCUUGCAGGCAUUUCUUGAGCUGGGAGAAUUGUUAAUUCUUUCCAACACAGGAGUGCUUUAAAAAAUGUGAGGGAUUAAGAGCUUAUCAUAUGUUCUAUUUUUGGUUUGAAAAUUUUAUCUUUAUGAAUAGACUUUUGAAGUUUCAUAAUUUGUUAUGAUAUAGAUAUUGUAAUUGUGGUAGAGGCUGAAGAGAGGUCAAGAAGUACCAAUUGAAUUACUAAAUAAUAUUGGUGUGCUUCACUUUGAAAGGAUUCAAGCUUGAUUUUUUUAGUUGUAACUUAUAUGUCAUUCUUUUUUCUCAACAUAAUUGUUGUUGGAUAGUUGAAUUUAGAAGGGGAAAAUAUUCACUUUAUUAUUCAAUAAUGAGAAUAUAAUGUUACUAUAAGGAUUAUUUAACAACAUUGUUUGAGAGAAUGUAGUUCAUAGGUUCUACUUAUCAUCCAUAUGUUUAGACUUUGGUUUAUUUGAAUAAACUUCUCCACAAGUUUUUUUUAUACUAACUUGUCCAAAUACGUUUUGUUUUUAUUUUUUUUUAUUUUUUUAUUUUUUAAGGUAGUCUUAGCUUAUUAAAAAACCUUAUUGCAUUUUUUCUUUUUCUUUUCUCUUUUAAGUGUUUAUAGAAAACAUUAUCGAGACAUACCUUUAGUAAAUACUAUUUCGUUUCCUAGACUAAUAUUAAUUGAGUGCAAUUUCUUAGAUACACAAAUACCCAUAUUUGUUGUAUUCAUAGCUGUAUUAGAAUUUUGGUCAAUGUGGAAUAGGUUCGAAGUAAAUCUGCAUUAUUUGAAAAAGAAAACAUUAUAUUUUUUUUUAGAUGAUAGCAUUGUUUAUGUUCAUAAAUUUUGUUUGAUAAAAAUUAUCAAUAUAAUGAAUUUAUUUUUUAUAAUAAGAAUCAAACCUAAAUCUUUAUGUAUAUUAUUCUAACACCGGUCACUAAAUGGAUCUUAAGGAAUAAUAUGAAUGAUUUAGUAAUUUAUCAUUAUUUAAGAAAUAUCAAUAUAAUUAUUUGGUAUUAAUACGAAAUUACACCUAUAUAGUAUUAUAAAACCCUGGAAAGUAAAUAAAAAAAAGUUGAAGGACAAUAAUGUAUUAAUGUUUGGUGGUAGAAGAAGAACAGAGGGUUUGAGAAAACUGUUGGGCUAUUUUGACUCAAUAUUUUUAUUAUUUAUCAUCUUUUUUUUAUAUAAACACCUUCUAUAAGUAAUGGGGGUUUAAAAAUCGAUGACAACAAUGAGUUAGAAGUACUGAAAAUAACAAGAUUUUAAAAUCGUCGAGAAUAACAGAAAUUUAAAAACCGUCAGAAAUUAUGGAAAUUCUCAAACCGUUGAGAAUUACAAAGUUCUCAAACUAUCAAGAAUUACGAGAUUUUCAAACUGCCAAUAGUAAUAGAGUUUCCAAACCGAUGUAAAAAUUCUUAAUCAUUACAAAAAAUAAAAAAUCACAUGUAAAAGCUCUUAAUCAUUACAUAGGGAAAAAAAAUCUGAAGUGAAUACUCGUAAUUAUUACAUACGAAAAAAAAUUCAUAUAUAAAUGCGUCUAGUCACUAGGAAAAAAAAUCGUACGUAAAAUUUCAUAUAUUAUUACUAAUAUUAUUAUUAUUUAUUAUUUAUUAUUUUUAUUCUUAAUAAUAAUAAUAAAAUUAACAAUAAUAAAAAUAUUUUUAUUAUCAUUAAUAAUAAUAAUAAGAUAAUAAUAAUAUUAGUAAUAGUAAUAAUAUCAAUAUUAUUACUAGAUAAAUUUAGUUUUUAUAUUAUUAUUACUAUAAUUAUUAUAAACAUUAUAUUCAAUUAUUUCCCAAGACGAAUCACCAAAUCUAUCAACCCACACUACCUUCACCAUAUUGAUGUUCUUGCCUUUGAGCUGGGUACUCUAAUGAUUUUCAAUCUUAAUUGAUUUUACUUUAAAAGACAUGUUAUCCUUGAUUUGCACAUUAUCCAUUUCCGGUUGCAAACUCCAAAGGCUUUAUCUUCUAAUCUGCAUAUGAUUUCUGCCAACUCUGAGAGGCUUUCAUCCUUUCAUGUAUCUGUCUCACCUUCUCAAUGGUAUGCCUUAGUAACUCUGGCCCAACCAAUGUUGUCUCAUCAUCUUGGUACCAACCUAACGGAGUUAUGUGUUGAACCAAGUGGUAUUCAAUGUUUUGAAGAAUCCAAAUCCUUUGGAGGAUGUUGAAGCCUCUGCUUUGCUGUGUGUUGUUGUGCUGGUUUAAGCUUUGUUCUGGGGUAGUUUAAUGUUGUAAUCCACCCUUAGAUUAAAUCUCAAGCAAUUAGCAUCUCAAUCUUUAUCAAAGUAAAAUGUUUUUCAAACUAAGUUGAAACAACCGAUUGUUUUGUCGAAACAACCGAUUGUUUACACUUAGGUGUUUUGAGAAAGUUUGAAAACUGUUUUUGAAUGGUGAAAUCUGUUAAGUAACAAAACAACCGAUUGAUUCGAGGAAACAAUCGAUUGUUUGUUUUGAAACCAUAACAGAAAAACUGUUUUCUUUGACUGAGCUUUAAAUGCUUUAACUGAAUACGCUCCAGUCAUUAAAUGCUUUGACCAAUCUAUUUUAAAUGCAAUUAAGAGUUUGUUAAGAUUUGAUAACAAACUAUANNNNNNNNNNNNNNNNNNNNNNNNNNNNNNNNNNNNNNNNNNNNNNNNNNNNNNNNNNNNNNNNNNNNNNNNNNNNNNNNNNNNNNNNNNNNNNNNNNNNUGAGACAAAGUUUAAGAAUAACAACUAAGAGUUUUUCAAAGAGUUCUGAGAUUGCUUAAGAGUUGAGAGAUUGAUCAAGGUGCUGGAAUAGGAUUCUACUUGUAUUGAUUUCAGAUAUUCAUCUGUAACAAGUGUAAUCAUUUAAAACUGCUGAACAAUUUGUGUGUGUGCUUUGCUGAGAUUGGCUGUGUGUUCUUGAGGUGUUCAAGAUCAACAAUCUUAGUGUUGGCCAAGGAGAGUGUGUUUCUUGAGGUGUUCAAGGUCAUUCUCUUGGUUGUGGUGUAAGUGAUCAAGUGGUGAUUGCUUAGUGGUUAUCCUCAGGGUUUCUGAGAAGACUGGAUGUAGCUCUUGUUGGAGUGAACCAGUAUAAACAACUGUGUACAAUUUCUCUAUCCCUAUCUCUUUAAUUCAGUUUUGAUAUUUUGGAACUGGUAUAAACAACCGAUUGUUUUUCCAACUUUGUGCUUUUGCUGUUUGUUUUGGAAAAACUUAAUCCUUAAUCAAGGUUCUUUUGAAGAAUUUUCAUUCUAAGAUUAAAAGUUUACAAAAAUCUUUCUUAAACAAUUCACCCCCCCCUCUCGUUUAAGGCCAUAUAUUCUAACAAUUGGCAUCAAGAGCUUGGUUCUUGAAAGUUAUUCAAGUUUAUCUAAAAUAUUUUUUCUAUGGCUAGAAAACUAUCUUUUGAGGAGGGUGCUUCAAUCUACAAACCACCUUUAUUCUGUGGAUUGAAUUAUAAGUUUUGGGUAGCAAGAAUGAAAAUCUUUAUUGAGUCUAUUGAUCAAAGAAUUUGGGACUCAAUUGAGAAUGGUCCUUACAUUCCAAAAUUCAAAAAGGAUAAUUCCUUUAUUACAAAACCUUUGUCCAUUUGGACAAAUGAUGAAUGUAAGAUGGCUCAGCUUGAUAAGUCUGCUCAAAACAUUAUAGCUUAUGCACUAGAUACUAAUGAAUUUUUCAGGAUAUCAAAGUGCAAAACUGCUAAGGAAAUGUGGGAGACACUCAAGGAUGCUCAUGAACCAAAGGAAGCAAUGACAAAGAGUCAAACAAGAAGAAAGAGAAGGCAAAAUAAGAAAAGCCUCAAUCUUUGCUUAAUGACCAGAAGGGAGGAUGACUCAUGUAGUGUAAGUUCGUCAAAUUCUUCAAACUCGGAAAAUUAUGGUCAAUUGCUUCAAGCCUUUCAAGAAACGCAUGAAGAAGCCAACAGAUUGGCUCUCUUGAACAAUCGAUUGAAAGAAAAGAAUAGCUGGCUUGAAAACAGAGUAAAGGCACUGGAAGAGGAUUUAGAAAAUUCAAAAAUGGAUUUUGAGAAUCUGGAAAUCAUUUACAAAAACUCCUCUUGCAAGUGUGAUACUCCAGUUUGUGAAAAUUGCGAAAAUCUUGAAAAGAAUGUCCACUAUCUUGUUAAAACAGUGGAUAAGCUUUCUAAAGGCCAAUCUAACUUNNNNNNNNNNNNNNNNNNNNNNNNNNNNNNNNNNNNNNNNNNNNNNNNNNNNNNNNNNNNNNNNNNNNNNNNNNNNNNNNNNNNNNNNNNNNNNNNNNNNUAGAUUUUCAAAAUCAUUUUCGAAAAUGCCAGAAAAACAAUCGAUUGGACCAUCGAAACAAUCGAUUGUUACAUGCUUCUAUUGCAUGAAAAGAGGUCAUUCUGUGCGAUUCUGUAAAAUCAGAAAACAUGUUGUUCCUAAAGGGCUUAUGAAGUGGAUUCCCAAGAAAAAUAAAGCUUGUAUUGAUGAGUAUAAACCAGAUGGACCCACAUUCAUAAGGGGACCAAACCUAUGUACUUGAAAAUCUUUUUUGUAGGACAUCUUGGAGGAAAGAAAGCAACUUUGGUACUUGGACAGUGGAUGCUCCAAGCAUAUGACAUGGGACAAAUGAAAGUUCCUGAGAAUAUCCUUCAAGCAAGAGGGUCAUGUCACCUAUGGAGACAACAACAAAGGAAGAAUUCUUGGAAGAGGAUCCAUAGGAGAUGAGAGAAUCUUGGUGAUCCAUGAUGUGCUCUUUGUUGAAGGCCUAAAGCAUAAUCUUCUGAUCAUUAGCCAACUAUGUGACAAGGGGUAUCAAGUGAUGUUCAAGAAAAACUCAUGUGAAAUCUGUCUGCCCAACACCAAAGAGGUAAUGUUGGUAGGUAAGAGAGUUAACAAUGUGUAUCUUCUAGAUAUCUCUUCACCAUGUUCAAUUGGAUGUCUUCUAUCCAAGCAAGAUGAAUCUUGGCUUUGGCAUAGAAGAAUUGCUCAUAUUCACAUGAAUCAUUUGAACAAGCUAAUUUCAAAAGAUCUCGUGAUUGGGCUGCCAAAACUCAAGUUUGAGAGGGAUCACAUUUGUGAAGCUUGCCAAAAAGGGAAACAAGUGAAAAGUUCUUUUAAAACCAAAAAUGUUGUCUCUUCAUUGAGACCUCUUGAACUCCUUCACAUGGAUCUCUUUGGACCCUCUAGAACUAUGAGUCUUGGUGGAAAUUAUUAUGCUCUUGUUAUUGUUGAUGAUUUCUCUAGGUACACUUGGACUUUGUUCUUGGAAUCAAAGAGUGAUGCCUUUGUUGCAUUCAAAAAGCUAGCAAAAAGGCUUCAAAACACAAAGAACAACAACAUAGGCUCCAUAAGGAGUGACCAUGGAGGAGAAUUCCAAAAUGAGAAGUUUGUCAAGUUCUGUGAGAAGUUGGGGAUUCUACACAAUUUCUCUGCUCCAAGAACACCACAACAAAAUGGAGUUAUAGAGAGGAAGAACAGAUCUCUUGAAGAGCUUGCAAGGACAAUGCUUAGUGAGUCAUCACUUCCUAAGUAUUUUUGGGCAGAUGCAGUGAGCACCUCUUGUUAUGUGAUGAAUAGGGUGCUUAUAAGGCCCAUUUUGAAGAAAACUCCAUAUGAACUUUUCAAUGGAAGGAAGCCUAACAUCAGUCACCUCAAAGUCUUUGGUUGCAGUUGUUUCAUUCUCAACAAUGGAAAGGAAAGUUUGGGAAAAUUUGAUGAGAAAGCUGACCUUGGUAUUUUCAUUGGUUACUCACUCACAAGCCAUGCAUAUAAAGUCUACAACAAAAGGCUAAUGACUGUAGAAGAAUCAGUUCAUGUAGUCUUUGAUGAGGUAGAUCACGAAAUCAGUGAGAACCCAAAGAUCAGUGCUGAGGAAGACGAACAGAGCAUCAGUUUGGAGAAGCUAGAUAUCUGUGCAGAAAAACAACCGGUUGAUUCGCAGAAACAACCGAUUGAAAUUCUGCAACAGAGUGAGCUGCCCAAAGAAUGGAGGAUUCCUAGAGAUCUGUCUGUGGAUAACAUCAUAGGGCAGAUAAAGGAAGGUGUCUCCACACGUAGCUCCAUCUCAAACUACUGCAGACACACAACUUUUGUUUCUCAAAUUGAACCAAAGUCAAUUGAGGAAGCUCUUAAGGAUGAGAAGUGGGUUGAAGCUAUGCAUGAAGAGCUAAACCAAUUUGAAAGAAAUGAGGUAUGGUUUCUUGUCCCUAAAACUAAUGAAAUGAAUAUUAUUGGUUCAAAAUGGGUUUUCAGGAACAAGCUAGAUGAGGAUGGAGUGAUCACUAGAAACAAAGCAAGGCUAGUUGCCAAAGGCUACAANNNNNNNNNNNNNNNNNNNNNNNNNNNNNNNNNNNNNNNNNNNNNNNNNNNNNNNNNNNNNNNNNNNNNNNNNNNNNNNNNNNNNNNNNNNNNNNNNNNNCUGUGAGGCUGCUGCUGGCUUUUGCUUGUAUGAGUGGUUUUAAACUCUUCCAAAUGGAUGUAAAGAGUGCCUUCUUGAAUGGCUACAUCAAUGGGGAAGUCUAUGUAGAUCAACCACCGGCUUUGAAGAUCACAAGUAUCCCAACCAUGUUUUCAAGUUGAAGAAAGCUUUAUAUGGACUGAAGCAAGCUCCAAGGCAGUGGUAUGAGAGACUUAGCAACUUUCUGCUAUCACAUGGUUAUGAAAGAGGAAUGGUAGACAAGACUCUCUUCAUCAAGAAGUCAAAUGCAGAAAUAAUUCUUGUGCAAAUCUAUGUUGAUGACAUCAUCUUUAGUGCCACACAAGAUAGGUUGUGUGAAGAAUUUGUGACUGCAAUGAAAGGUGAUUUUGAAAUGUCUAUGAUGGGAGAACUAUCUUUCUUUCUUGGAUUGUAGGACAAACAAACAAAGGAUGGGAUCUUCCUAAGUCAAUCAAAGUAUUGCAAGGAAAUUCUCAAAAAGUUUGAAAUGGAUAAUUGCAAAUAGGCAAGCACUCCAAUGCCAUCAAGCUGCUACAUGGAUGCAGAUGCUGCUGGAAAGAGUAUAGAUCAAACAAAAUACAGAGGUUUGAUUGGAUCAUUGCUUUAUCUAACAGCAAGUAGGUCGGACAUCAUGUUUGCGGUGUGUCUAUGUGCAAGAUAUCAAGCAAAUCCUAAAGAAUCACACUUCAAAGCUGCAAAAAGGAUUCUGAAAUAUCUAAAAGGAACAUCAUUUGUAGGACUAUGGUAUCCUUCUCAUUCUUUAUUACAUUUAAUUGGUUAUUCAGAUUCUGACUUUGCAGGUUGCAAGCUAGAUAGAAAGAGCACAAGUGGCACUUGUCACCUUCUUGGCUCAAGCCUAAUCUCAUGGCAUAGCAAGAAGCAAGCAUGUGUUGCUCUCUACUGUUGAGGCAGAAUAUAUAGUUGUUGGUAGUUGCUAUGCACAGAUCCUAUGGCUCAAACAACAACUUGCAGAUUUUGGUUUACAAAUCAGCAAAGUUCCUUUGAUGUGUGAUAACACAAGUGCAAUAAAUCUUACCAAAAAUCAAAUCCAGCACUCAAGGACCAAACAUAUUGAAAUAAGACAUCAUUUCAUCAGAGAUCAUGUGCAAAAUGGGAACUGUGAAGUAAAGUUUGUGGAGACCAAACUGCAGCUAGCUGACAUCUUCACAAAGCCUUUGCCAAAAGAGAGGUUCUUCUUCUUAAGAAAUGAAUUAGGUAUUCUUGAUCUUAAUAAUCUCUCUUAAAUAUGUCUUUGAUACAUGUUAAAGUCUAUUUGUAAAGACAAAUAGGGGGAGAAUUAUUGGUUCUUGUAUAUCUGUGUCUUAUAUGCAUAAAAUGUUUAAAUCUCUGAGUAUAAAAGUGUUUUCUGUUGCUGCUGAUAGAAACAACCAAUUGUUUCGUGUAAACAACCGAUUGUUUAUUAUGUUUAAAGAGUUAUAAUCUAACUUGUUGCUGUAAGAAGCUUUGGACAGUAUAAAUGUUUUUUUUGCAAGAAUUGCUUCAGAUUUAAUCAGUACAACACAAGCACCAGGGAUUUGUCUUCAUCAAAUAGGGGGAGAUUGUUGAACCAAGUGGUGUUCAAUGUUUUGAAGAAUCCAAACCCUUUGGAGGAUGUUGAAGCCUCUGCUUUGCUGUGUGUUGCUGUGCUGGUUUAAGCUUUGUUCUGGGGUAGUUUAAUGUUGUAAUCCACCCUUAGAUUAAAUCUCAAGCAAUUAGCAUCUCAAUCUUUAUCAAAGUAACUGGAAGAAAGUGAAUGCUCUUCAGUAGUCGAUCAACUAUCCCCUAAACUGGAUCAUGACCCCUUACUGCUCUUGGUAAUGGGUAACAAAAUCCAUAGCAAUGUUAUCCCAUUUCCACUCAUGAAUAAUAAUAAAAAAAUUAUAUUAAUAAUAAUAAAAAAAAUUAUAUUAAUAAUAAUAGUAUAAAUUAUAUUAAUAAUAAUAGUAUAAAUUAUAUUAAUAAUAAUAGUAUAAAUUAUAUUAAUAAUAAUAAUAUAAAUAAUAACAAUAGUAUAAAUUAUAUUCAUAUUAUUCAUAUUAAUAAUAUUAUUAAUACUAUUCGUAUUAUUAAUAUUAUUCGUAUUAUUAAUACUAUUCGUAUUAUUAAUAUUAUUCGUAUUAUUCAUACUAUUCAUACUAUUCAUAUUAUUAAUACUAUUCAUAUUAUUAAUACUAUUCAUAUUAUUAAUAAUAAUAAGUAUAAUAAAAAUCAUAAUAAUAUUAAAGAAUUUGUUUGGUGUUGUGGUUAAAGUUUUUUUAGUUAUUGAAGGAACUUUUGUUCGAAUCUCAUCCAAUGCUGAUUUUAUUUUAAUUUCCCUUUCAUGGUGCCAAAGUUACAUACGAAAAAAUAUGUAUGUAAUACCUGUUUACAUACGGAUUUUGAUCCCCUGGAUAAUUCAUCAAAUGAAAAUCAUAAUUUCAUAAACUCCACCCAUCUUCUCUACUUCAUAUUCAACUCCUUUUAAUCAAACAAGUAUUUUAGAUUUUUGUGAUCCUUAAACACCUGUAAUUAAGCUCCAUACAAAUAAUGUCUUCAAAUCUUCAAAGUAAACACCACAAAUACCAACUCUUAGUUAUAAAUAGGAUAAUUUCUCUUAUGAACUUUGAGUUGCCUUAAAGCAUAUGUUGUCUUCUCUAACAUUAAAACACAAUUCAAUCCUUUACGUGAAGCAUCAUAAUAAACCUUGAUAGAUUUUUCUAUAUGAGAAAUCACCAACAUUGAAUUACUAACAAACCUUUUCUUCAACUCCAUGAAACUUUCCAGUAUCUCUCAGUGCAAAAGUUUGAUUUUCAGAAGUUAAUUGUGUCAAGGUGCUUCUACCUUGAAAAAAUAUCCGAAACAAAAGUGUUGUUAAUUAGUCUCAAACAGAUAGGUAGUAUACUGUGUUAUGAAAAUAUUUGCAGGUUCCUUCUGUGUCCUUUUCAACUUCAUCUUCUCCCUUGCAACCAGCGAUAUCGGUGACUUAUUAUCGCUUGAAUCUAACUCAUGAGUGAAUGAAGUCCAGCUCUAGCAACUAACUCAAAACUGGGAGAGAAGGAGUUCGCGACGGAGUUUGUGGCGGAGUUUGUGGUGGACUAGGUGGUUUAAUAGGCUUUAAAAUACUUUGAAAAGAAUGGGAAGCAGAGGAUAUAAUGGCAGGAGGGGUAACGACGGGUACUCAAACGAGUAUACCACCUUCUUCUUCUCAAAUUUCCCUCAUGGAUAUGGGGAGAUGGACAUGGUGAAGAUUUUUCAAAAACAGGCCAAGGUGAAAGAAGUUUUUAUCUCACGAAGGUUGAACAGAUGGGGGAGAAGGUUUGGUUUUGUGAGGUUUUUUUACGUGAGAAAUGUGGGACGCAUGGAGAGAGACCUGGAUAGCUUAUAUAUCGGGAACAUGAAACUUCACGUAAAUAUACCGAAAUACCGAAGGAAUACAAUGGGAAUACAUAAGGGGGACAGGAAGGAUCCAAGGGCAUCUCACUCUGGAAGGAAGAGGGAUGGAGGGAAGCGUAAGGAGGUUUGGGUGGAGAAGAAAAGGAAUUUGUCCUAUGCUGAAGCUGUGAAAGGGGAAGUGCAGUAGGAAGAGUGGAAGGGGAGAACGAUAGAAGUUGAAACGCAUAGUCUCCCUUGGAUGGAAAAAAGUGUUGUUGGGCAUCUUAAGGAAGGCAUGGACUUCGAUCAACUGAGUGAGGAUUUAGUGAAAGAAGGCAUGAAUAGGUUGAGAGCAAGAAUGUUGGGAGAUAACCUAAUCCUUCUAACCCCAAGAGAAGGGGAGAAAGCUAGGGAUAUUAUCAAGGAUAACAAUGAAUGGUUUGACAAUGUCUUCACAAGCAUAAAGUCGUUCCUGGAACGGUGAAGAGCAUGCAAAUCAAUAAACAAAGGUGUUGUAUCCUUAUUGAAGAAGAGACCCCUGUUUACUAUGGUGACUUGAAUAUGGUAAACGAGUGUGGUUAUGGAUCGUUUGUUAGUGUGUCUUCCUCGGACACAUAUGUAGAAGAAACAGCCUUUUCAACCAGAAGCGGGGAGGAGGAGAUUCAUUCGGGGUUUAGGGAGGUUGUUCGUUCAAAAGGGGAGGAGGUGGUAGGUGAGACGACGGAAGACGGUGAGCAGAGUAGGCAAAAAAUAAAUUUGCCUUUUGGGAAAUCAUAUCCAAAAAAUCUAUCAUGUCAGAGGAGUGGGUGCAGUUCCUUCAUGAAUGAAGAAAGCUUAGGCCAGAGGGUGGCUCAAGGUGCAAAACUAGAUUGUGACCUUACACAAAAUCGUAAAUACUCAUCCAACGGCUAUGCUGAAAAUGCUGAGCUGGCAAAAGCGGUCAUAGAGGUGGAGUGUUACACCCCGAUGCGAAAAAUCUGGGCCACGAGCUGGAGGCCCAUUAUCACGUAUUAUAGUCCUCAAAUCCAGCCCAAUCCAAGGAGGAUGAUCCAAGGAGGAUGGUUAUGAGGCAGGGCCUUUGCAGAAGGGUUGUGAAUGUGGGGAAGGAAAAGAAGACCGUUUGGACGACAACACGAACGGUGAAAAGGAGGAGGGAAGUGCCGAUGAGAGUGAAGGAAGCGAUAAAGGGAACCCAGCGAAGGCGCAUAUGUUAAUGACGUCGAAUGCGGUGAACGAGUGUCUACAAGUAGGGGGAGAGGAAAGAACUCUGAUCCUGGACAUUCUAGAGGAAGCAACUGAGGGAGGCAACACCUCUACUCCGCCACGAAGACGAAAGCUGAAAGGGCUCUUUGAACUAGGGGAUUCGAUAUCCUUUCUGAGAAGAUCUGUGAGACUCAUUUCAAGGAGUGCUAAAGCUAAGCCCUCUUCAAGUGGUAGAGACGGUAUGUGCUCAAACUCUGUAUCUGAUGGGGGAGUUGUCAAUUGCAAUUUACGUUUUUCUGGGCCUAGUGGUAUGGCGGAUCCAUCUAAACGGUGGGAGAUUGGAAAGAAAGCUGGGCUUAAAUGUCGGGGGGAUGAGGAAGAGGUUGUUAAUGAAUACAUCUGUUUGGAAAAGAGAGAUACAGAGGUUAUGAAGAACUAUGAGGAGGGAGACAAGAAUGAUAAUAUAUGUUGAUUGUUAAUUUGAAUAUAAGAGGAUUGGGGGGAAGUGUUAAGGCUAGGUACUUGAGACAUAUUAUUGCAAGAGAGGAUGCGAAUUUUGCUUGUAUUCAAGAAACGAAAGUGAAUGCCAUUACGGAUGCAAGAUGCUUCAACCUAUGGGGGGGAUAACAAUGUGGGGUGGCUACAUUAUGGAGGUGAUAAUGGUAGUGGAAGCUUGUUAUCCUUAUGGCAUAAAGAAGCGUUUUGCUAUGAAACACAUGUGAUGGCGAAGAAGUUCAUUGCUGUUUUUGGAAAACAUAUUAAAUCCAAUUGUAGUUGUGUGGUGGUAAAUGUUUACGCAGCCUGUUCUUUAAGUGACAAGUUAGUGUUGUGGAGGGAACUGUCAGAUUUAAAAAAGGCCUCCUCAGAUGUGGUAUGGUGUUUCUGUGGUGACUUUAAUGCCAUUAGAAAGAAUGGUGAGAGGAAAGGUGUUAGCAUGAGGGACGGCAACACGAGCGAAAUGAGAGAUUUUAAUCUGUUCAUCGAAGCUAAUCUUUUGUUUGAAAUCCCUUUGGUGGGUAAGCCCUUUACGUGGUUUAACUCUAAUGGGAAGGCCAAGAGUAGGUUAGACAGAGUGUUGGUAACCGAAGAAUGGAUGCAAACAUGGCCUAUGUGUAAGCAGUAUGUGCAAAACAGGGAGGUCUCUGAUCACUGUGCAAUAGUGGUGAAGUCUGUGGAUAAGGAUUGAAGCCCAAAACCCUUUAGAACCAUCGAUGCCCGGUUUAUGGAAAGGGGUUUUGGUGUAAUGGUUAAGGAUAAGUGGAGUUCUUAUGUAAUACAAGGGAAUGCACUCACGGUAUUAAAAGAGAAGAUGAAGAGGUUAAGGGUGUUCUAAAGGUAUGGAACAGGGUUGAAUUUGGUAAUAUGGAGAACACUAAGAAGGCUAUUUUGAAGGAAAUAGAGACGCUAGACUGCCAAGACUGCAAUGGUGCUUUGAUGAAAAGUGAGAGGCUACAUAAGAUUGGGUUGGUGAGUAAACUGAAGGAGACUGAUCAGAAGUUGGAGUCCCUUAUAUGCCAAAAAGCUAGAGCCAGCUGGUUUAAGAAUGGAGACUCAUGUUCUAAAUUCUUUCAUUCAACCCUGAGAUGGAGACGCCUCAAAAAUGAAAUUAAAGGGGUGGAGGUGGGGGGUCAAUGGUGCGAGGAACCGCCUACUGUUCGUAAGGAAGCAAAGAAGAUGUUUGAAAAAAGAUUCAAAGCCUCAAGAGACUUCGAGGUAGUAUUAGAAGGGGUGGAGUUUAAAGCUUUAACCCAGGAAGAUAAUACCAAUCUGAUGGCAGAGUUCUCAGAGAAAGAAAUGAGGGAAGCAGUAUGGCGUUGUGAUGGGUCGAAGAGUCCAGGACCUGAUGGGUUUAAUUUUAACUUCAUUAAGAAUAGUUGGGAGGUCAUAAAGGAAGAAGUUAUGGGUGUUAUGGCUGCCUUUUAUGCUUCUGGUUAUAUUCAAAAGGGAUGCAAUGCUUCUUUCAUAGCACUAGUUCCUAAGGUAAGGGACCCCGUAAUGCUAGAACAGUAUAGACCUAUUUCUCUAGUAGGGGCUAUGUAUAAGAUUAUUUCUAAGGUCUUAGCAGAAAGAUUAAAGAAGGUCUUACCCUCCAUUAUAGAUGAAAGUCAAUCGGCUUUUCUAAAGGAUAGAGGGAUUCUUGAUAGUGUGCUUUUGGUCAAUGAAGCGAUUGAGGACCUGAGAAGGAGAGGGAGGAGUGGGUUAUGUAUGAAGGUAGACUUUGAGAAAGCGUACGACUCGGUCAGCUGGGCUUUCCUCUAUGACAUGUUACAAAAGUUGGGGUUUCAUAGUAAGUGGAUUGCUUGGAUCCGAGGAUGUAUGGAAAGUACCACAGUCUCAGUGCUUGUUAAUGGAAGCCCCACGGAGGAAUUUAAACCCUCUAGAGGGGUGCAUCAGGGCGAUCCAUUAGCCCCAUUCCUUUUCUUAGUGGUAGCAGAAGGCUUGAAUGGUAUAGUAAGACAAUCUCUGAAGGAAAGGCUGCUCACAGGCCUCAAGUUCGGUAGAGACGAGAUCGAAUUGGCUAUUCUCCAGUUUGCGGAUGACACAAUGUUCCUAUGUGAGGAUUUUUACAACAAUGUGGUGACUUUAAAGGCUAUUCUUCGAGGAUUUGAGGUGGCCUCAGGGUUGAAGAUUAAUUUCUACAAAUCAAAAUUAGCAGGUAUCAAUGUCCUCAGACACAAUAUGGCAUGUUACACAAAGACUUUGAACUGUGCACAGAUGAGUAUUCCGUUUAAAUACUUGGGUUUGGAAGUGGGAGGGAACCCUAGGAAGAAAAAUUUUUGGGAUCCGGUGGUUAACAAUUUAAAAGCCAGACUUAAUGUGUGGAAAGGGAGAUUCUUAUCUAUGGCGGGAAGAAUAUGCCUUAUCAAAGAUGUGCUUACUGCUAUUCCACUCUACUAUCUAUCUCUUUUCAGAGCACCGGUAGCGGUGUGUAAGAGUAUCACCAGAAUUCAGAGAAGGUUUCUGUGGGGUUGGGGGAAGGAGAAGGAACCCAUCUCAUGGAUUAGUUGGAAAAUGGUUUGCAAACCAAGAGAGGAAGGUGGUCUGGGACUUAGAGAUAUUCAGAACUUUAACAUAGCUUUGUUGGCUAAAUGGAAAUGGCGUCUUAUAGGUGAAGAGAAGGGGAGGUGGAAGGAAAUGGUGGUCUCCAAGUAUGGAUCGGGUUAAGAAGUCCCACAAAUACCAGUGAGACUCCAAUCUUGGUGGUGGAGAGAUCUGUCUAAAGCUUGUGGGGAGGGCGGAGAUAAAGGAUGGUUCCAAAAAGAAGUAGGGUGGAAAGUAGGAUGUGGUGACAAAGUAAGGUUUUGGGAGGAUGUCUGGAUUGGGAAUUCUAGCCUUAAAAAUAUGUUUCCUAGAUUAUUUACUCUGUCCCUGAAUCAGGGGCAAAAGGUGGAAGAGGUUGGUAGGUGGGGCGAUGUGAUAUGGAGGUGGAACUUAAGGUGGAGACGUGCAAGAUUUGAGUGGGAAUCCAAGUUGGAAGAAGAGAUGUUAGUGUACUUGUCUACGACCAGUUUGCUCCGAGAAGAGAAGGAUGGGCAUACGUGGGGGAGUGAAGAUGAAAGGUGUUUUUCAGUGAGUUCUGCAUAUGUGUGCUUGGCUAACCAAGGAAGAGGACCACGCCUUGGGGUGUUUAAACUUCUUUGGAAGGCUAAAUCUUUCCCUAAUGUGGUGACCACGGCAUGGAGGGCCCUGACGGAUAGUCUACCAACUAGAGAGAGGUUGAGCAAGAAAGGGGUGAUGUUGAAUAAUCCCCUAUGUGUCCUUUGUCAGACUAAGGUAGAAUCCAGUCAACAUCUUUUUAUGGAAUGUAAACAUGCGCUGUGUGUAUGGUCGAUGUGCUUAAGAUGGGUUGGUAUAGUGCUUGUCCAACAUAAUGACAUAAAGAUCAACUUUGAGAGUUUCCACUUGUACCAUGUUAAUAAUAAACAAAAUUUGGUUUGGAGUGGGGUUUGGGUAGCAAUUGUGAGGAGUAUAUGGGAUCAAAGGAAUGAGGUGGUGUUCAAGCAGGGAGUAGUAGAUGCAUAUGAGAUUUUCCAAAAUGCCCAAAUCAAAGCAUGGUUAUGGUUAAAACAUAAAUCAAACUUUUUCACUUACUCUUAGGUAGAUUGGAUCCUAAAUCCAAUGGUAUGCAUCACAAGCUUGAAGUAAGUGGGGCGGAAGGCAGCUACUUGGUGUGACGAAGGCAGGAGGUGGUGUAGGUGUAUCUGGAGGGAGAUGUUAUCACAAGGAAGAGAGCUGACGUGAGAGGGAUGAUAUGGUGAAGGAGCUCUCCUCUGCUGCAGUUGUACGAUAUCUGUGGAGUCAUUGUAUUCUGUUUUCUAUGCAGGUGUGCGUAAGGAUGGAAUAGAUUCUACGUUGGUUAGAGUAGUAAAAUAUGUGGAGCUAUAAACUGGUGUAGCUGGAACUUGGUGGUGAAUACAUAUGGGAGCCGAGUAGACGCAGAACAAGUUGGAGCUGCAGAAGAGGUCCCGAUGAUGCAGAGCUACGGUGGUAACAAGGAUUCAUCCUCCUUGCGACUUUGGAUGCGGAAACUCUUCCUAUGCCAAGGUUUUUGCUGAUCAUUACAGUGUUUCAUGUUUGGGAUAGCAUCGCUGUAAGUUAGUUUAGUGCCAUCAGGUUAUGCUUUUUAGCAGGAUGGGAUUAAGAACCAUUUUAUUUUGUUGUUGUCUAGCUUUUAUUGAAAACGUGGUGAAACCCACGUGUGUAGGGCCUUGCUGAGAGGUUCAUCUGCUGCAGGUUUGGAAGCCUAAAUUACAUGGGAGCUCCACAUGUGACGGAUGGGUUGUUGUAUAAGGGUUGGGACAUCCCUGAAAUGUUCCUAUUAAUUUAUUUAUUCUUUGCUGAUAAAAAAAAAAAUAUUUGAAACAAAACUAAAUUCACAAAACUCCUUAUUUCUUUCUAUGACUAUCUUAUAUGUUUCUUAGAUAUUCCUUUUAAAACACUGUCUUCCACCUCGACCAAAUCUACGGAGAUUUCCUUAGCUGAUAUCACAUCUUCAAGUAAAUUAACUUCCUUCAGCUAGAACAUCCCACUAAGUUGUAUCUGUAUUGUUAUCAGAGUUGAAUCUCCUUUCCUCUCUCAAACAACCCACAAGUUGUAUCUCUAUUGUCAUAUAAUUCAAUCACAUUUUUAACGUGAGGCAACACGGAAGAUAUUCCAGCUACAUUUUCUUUGGCUCUCGUUUAUACACGUAAGUGAGAGUGAAUAUGCGGUUCCCUCAAACAAUGCAGCGUACGUAAACUGUUAUAUAUAUUCAUCAUAUAUAUUCAAAAUCUACCCCAACAUAGCACAGUGACACAACUGAAAAGUGUGUCUGCAUUACAACAUUAAAAUGUAUUUAGUAUCGUACAUGAUCAUGAGUAGCAAUGUGUACUAAAAAGUUUGAGUCCCAGAGUCUUCACUGUAAGUCUGUGGCUCAUUCAAACAUGUCCACUCCUUUACUCUAUCUCCAAAAUCCUUGAAGCCAACUUCUGCAUAGUCCUGGAACGGUGCAAUAAUUAUAUAAAAUAACUUUUAAGAUUAACUAAAAUAUAUUUGCUUCAUCUUAAUUGAUCAUAUUUUGUAAUCUGUUUGGCUACAGAUUAGCUUCGUGAUCUGUGGAUGUCACUGUAUUGGUGUAGUGUUUUGUAAAUUUUUUCAUUGGUAGGUAUAUUUUAUAUAAGGAUUGGGUUCAUUUAAUUUAUUUCUUUUUAUUGAUAAAAGAAAUCUUAGUUUAUCCGCACGUCUUAAUUUUUUUAAAAAUAUAAACAUAUUGUAAAUCUUAAAUUUAUGCUAAUAUCCUUUAAUAUUGUUCUAGAAACGAAAAGGUGAUUAGUCGUGGUAACUUUUUAUUCAACGUAAUUAUUAAAUUCUAAAUCCCAAAAAUAUCUCAUAUGAUUUUCUUCCACCAUUUUAUUUAUAAUGUUAAAAAUACUCGUGAUUCUAGUAUUUCGAAUUUGAUAAAAAUUAAAAAUUAACUAGUACAUUAGCAAAAUAUUUAAUUUUAAUUCAUUCAAUAUUAUUGAUAAAACUAUCUUAAAAACUUUUCCAUGAUUAUGGUUGGAUGAUAAUCGUUAAUUUAUAAAACUCAUAUUAUUAGAAUAGAUUUUAUUAGUGUAAUGUUUAAAUGAAAAAGAGGUUGUCAGAAAAAUGUAUUAUUAAAUUUUGAAUACUGUAAAUAAAACAAUAAGCAUUGAUCAACAUUCUUUAUUUAAUUCCUUCUACGUGCAAGCAACUUUUUCUUGUAUAAAGAGCUCGAUCCUACAUACCGAUAGCUAUUAAAAAUAUUUAUUUAACUGAGUUUUUCUUUAUUAAAUAUGAAACAAUGAAAAAAAAAAUAGACAUUGUCCACAUCAGUUAAAAUAAUGUAAAAAAAAUUUGGCGCUUAGGUAACCCACUAUCUACACUUAUCAUGGAACUCACAUUGGUACCUUAUGUUUCAAAUUCUCCCAGCAGAGCUGCAUAUAUGAAUUACAGAGACCUUGAUAUUGGGGUAAAUAACAAUGGCUACACAAGCUACACACAAGAUAAAUAAUUUUUUAAUUUAUAUUUUGUUAAACAUGUACGAUCAAUUAAACUAAUAUUCACUACCAAGUAGUACAGUCAACUUAGUUAUUUCUAAGUCGAUCGACACAAAUAGAAUUCACUUAAUAUUAGACUAUAAUUCACUUAAUAUUAGACUAUAAUAGAGUAGGUUUAAUCAUUCUAAGUCGAUGCUAAUUAUUUUAACAUUCUUAACCAGUAAAAAUAUUUUAUGUUAGUGUUAAAUUAAUGUUAAUUUUGUCAAUGCUAACUAAUAUAAAUAUUAAAAUUAGUAAAUGAUGGAAGAAGUGUCUUCAUGUGUGACAAAACUUGAAUGAUGGUGGCGAAAGCAUAUGAAAGAGGCAUGCAAGGAUCUCCUAAGAGAUGUGGUAUCUUUAAAGGUGCAUGAGAUGUAUGAUGAGUGAUAGGUUAGGCCUAAUCACUUGAAGGGUGAAGAAUGAAGAUCAAACGUCUAUCCUAGGAAGAGUAGAAGACAAGAGUGUAAUUGGCAUAAAUUUUGCAAAAAUUCACUCAUAUGCUUAAUUUUGCAAAUACAUGAACCAAGCUACUCAUUAUAUAACAAUUGAGGGCUGAAAAUUCAAAUGAGGGAAAUUCAAAUGAACUUUCCACCAAAACGUGGCGUCUAAUGAAACACAUGGGAGGGGUGUGACUAGUGUUGUACGCUCACCCCCUUUAUGGGCUUUCUAAACCGACCUUGGUUAAUUUAGAGGUUUUAGAAACCCUAAAUUAACCUAGGUUGGUGUUUUAGGUGCCAAAAUUAAUUCUAAGAAAAAAUACAAAUAAUUUCCUAUUCUAAUUAAAUUCUACUCUACACUAGAGUUACGACAUCCUUGAUCAUGUAUUGGGAAGUUUCUCUGUUGUCAGUAGCCAUAUCCCAGUCUUCUUGGAUCUUCUUGGCUGUAGCUCUAGUGGUAGGCCCGAAUCUUCUCUUUGUUGGACUUGUAUUUGAACUUGUCCUUAGACCUCUUCCAUCAGUAAGGUUCGUAUAAACCUAGUUGAUGCUAAUAUUAUUUAUUGUCUAUUUCUAUUAUUUAUAUUUAUUAAGUUAGUGUAAGUUAGAUCAACAUUAAUUUCUUUAUUUUAUUACUUAUUUAAGUUAAGUCAACAAUAGUAUAAUAUAUUUUUAAUAUUUAUUUAAGUUAGUGUCAGUUAAAAUGAUGUUAAUUCAUAUGUUAUGAAUUUAUGUGUAUUGGUAAAAAUAAAUAUAAACCAUGAAUUAUUUUUAAUCAAAAGGCAUUCAUAAUUUGAAAGUGAAGAUCGUCCUCAACAUAUCAUUCAUAAUUUCAUUAGUUUUAAAAAAUUACAUAAAAAGAAAAUAAUGUAAUAUAUUUAAGACACUGUAAUAGUAUAUAUUCUAUAAUAAAAGAUUGAAUAAACAUAAUAGUAUAUAUUCUAUAAUAAAAGAUUGAAUAAACAGGAAGAACCAUAAUGUAGAUUUUUUUUUCAAAAUGGUAUAGUUGAUAUGAAAUUAUCUUAUGUUAAUGAAAAAACACUGAAUUGGAAUAAAUGCUUUCUCUUACACACAGAGGAGAAAUUUUUCCCUAUGAUUUAUUAUAAUAAUGACAAAACUUAAUUUUACGAAAAAUUGAUUCCUAAGAAGAAUAAAUGGAAGACUUGCAUUUUUUGUUGUUUUAUGUUUAAUUAUAGGUGAGAAAGAUCUUUUUCCAGCAUGAUAACUUGUUAAGAUUUCAACAUCCAACAUGUUCAUGUAGAAUCCACAACAUAGUAAUCUUGUUCCAUUACAUAACACAAAUUUAGGGUCUAUGUUUCACAAGAAUGGUGCCCCUUUUAUUAAGCUUUAAAAUAUGGGGUGGCAAGCCAUCUAAAGCAAUGGAGUGCAAAUACUCUUGUUGGUAUAUAUUAUGUGUGUCUCCUUCAACCUCAUCAAAAGACAAUAAAUGGUGUUGUUUUCCCGAAUAAUUAUCAAUAAUCAUGUCAUUAAUUUUUUUCAGCAACUUCAUGUUUUGGAGUCAAUACUCUCUUAACCAUAUAAAAUGCAAUCCAUAUAUGAAAUUGCAAUUGAGGAAAUGUUUCUUGUGUAAGUUUUUGUAUUAAACUCACUCAUUCCCAUGGUAUUGCUAGUUAAUGGAGUAUUUUCACCAUUUUUUUAUUAGCAAAGAAUAAAUAAAAUAAAAUGAGGCACUCAAGGGUGUCCCCAACCCUUAUACAAAUAAUCCCAACACAAGCUUCUUAUCACCCAACCAAUUGGAGAUCCAACAAACAUUAUGACACAUCAACAACAUUAACAUACCAUAAUAAGAUACAAGAGAACAUCAAUAUACAAUUACAUCAACCCUCCAAAGGAACACAUUCUCAAGACAAGACACAAAAGUCCAACAACUAAACUCAGUCUUUGUCAGUAAACAGAAGUAAACCAAACACCCAAGCGCCAAAUCCAUCAAGUCGACCCUACGAUGAGGAUAUAGUAGUCAAAAAUCCUGCACAAAACACACCACGUCUUCCAAAUCUGGACAAAUCAUUGAACAAGAAUCAUCAAACAUCAGUCUCUUAAAUAUCUCAUAUAACAUAAAGGUUUCAAAUACCAAUCCGAGUAGGAUAAAUCAACUAAUCUUUCCUUUACCAGAACCCAAGACCAAAAUUGGAGUAUUUUCACCAUUUCAUCAAGAAUUGUAGGUUCAAUCCCUUCUCCGAUGUGCUUGAGAUAUUCUACAAAAUUGUGAUCUUGUAAUGAUCAUAUGUUUUGUUGUAAAUGUAACACCUUUGUGUUACUUCAUAAAGGAGAUUUGACAAUACAUGCAUAAAUCAUUUCUAUCUUUGUACUCUUUUGAACGAUUAACAAUACUCAACAAAAAUCUCCUCCUAAUAUUCUCACUUUUACCUCAAAUGGAACAUCACAACUAGAAUCUCAUUUAAUGAUCGAUCUUAUGUCUUCAAAGCAUAUCUGUUAGUCAUGGGUGUUUCAUCACAAAUAAUUGUUUUUGUUUCUCUUAAUAGAUUUGCAAGAUCUAAUUAUUUGCUUAUUGAACAAAAGGAACUAAAGAAUGUGAAAUUCGACAACUAGGUAACAAUGUUGCUGCUAUACUAGAGAAGUUUGUUGCUAAAAUAAUUUUUCCUUUACAUUUGUAAUAUGCAAUUUAUGUACGGUAAAGGAAUGUUUUACUAGUUCCUCUUAGUCCAUCCAAAAAAAAUAUUUGAAUUUGCUUAUAAUGGAUUAUAUCUAAAAUGGUAUUAAAAGCAAUCAAAUGGUCAAUGUUUAACACUACAAAAAAACUUGUAUGUGGUGGCGGUUAUUAAAAACCGCUACAGUUAGUUGUAUAAUACGACAACUUCAUAACCGCCAUAAUUUUUCUUUAAAAUGUGGCAUGUAGAAUCACCAUAAUUAUCCUCUGAAAUAAAUGUUCUCCCGCAUUUUGUUCCCUAAGUAACCUUCCUCUUUCCUAAUGUUUUUUUUUUCGUAUUUCAUUUUUUCACUCUUAAAUAUACAACUUUGACUCUUUUUUCGUAUUCGGCCCUCACUCACUGAAUUUUCCCCUCUUUUGUAUUCCCCUCGCUGAACCUUCUCACCGUAACACAACCUCUCUAACUAAACCUUCCUCUAUUUUGUAUUCCCCUCUCUUAGUGAACCCUUUUCAUUGCAACUGUUCUCAUUCUGUGCAACCCUUCUCUUCUCACUCUCAUUAGAAAUCCUUCACAUUCUCAAUCUCACUGAAAGCCUUUCAUAGUCUCACCACAAACCCCUCUUCUCACUCUAAACGAAAACCCCUCUUCUCAUUCUUACCAGAAACUCUUCUUCUCAAUCUCAUCGCAAAGUGUUCUCACUCUCACUGUUUUCAGCCUCAUUGCAAACCAUCUCACCCUCUCACUCUUCACACCGUAAUUUUUUACCGCCAUUGCCGUCGCAAUCAUUGGUUUGUUGUUGCAACAGGUACAUCGUCGCAACGAAUCUACUUUUUUGCAAUGUUAUGAUUUUGAAAUUGGAUUGAAUAUAUAUUUGUUAAAUACUGUUUGAGGUAUGAGCUGAAAUGCAUUGAAUAUGAUUUUGAAAUUGGAGUAAAUGUAUAUUGCUAAUAUAGUUUGAGGGAUGGACUGAAAUGCAUUGAAUAUGAUUUUUAAAUUGGAUUGAAUAUAUAUUGGCAAAUACAGUUUGAGGGAUGUGCUGAAAUGCAUUGAAUAUGAUUUUGAAAUAUUGGAUUGAAUAUAUAUUGAUAAAUACAGCUUGAGGGAUGGCCUUAAAUGCAUUUUUUUUAUCAACAAAAGCCUGAAAUGCAUUGAAUAUAUAUUGUUAAAGUUUCGUGUAAAUAUCCUUAUCUAAGGUUUGGGAGACUAUAAAAGAUGUUGUGUUGAGUGAUAUGAAAAUAAAAUGUUUUCAAGGAUAAAAUAUAAUUAAAGGGUUGACAACAGUUUAUUUGUACCUUGUAAUGCGAUGAAUGGGGUUGACUUUUGUUGAAUCUUAAAUGUAAUAAUAAAGUAUAAUGUUAAACUGAUUAUCUCUUUUCAGUCCUUAAGCAUUUUGCUGUCCUUAUGCAUUUCCUUUUUCAUAAAUGUAAUAAUAAAACAUGAUGUUAAACUUCAUAUGUAAAUGCUUCUAGUUAUUAUAUAUGGAGAAAUUUUCACACCUAAAUGCUUCUGAUUAUAUAGGGAAAUUACAUAUGAAAAAACUUCAACAUGUAUACGCUCCUAAUCAUUAUAUAAAAAAAUAAAAAUUCACACGUAAAAAUUUCUACUUGACUAUGACGUCAUUGUCUACCAAAAUAUUCGUAUAUGAAUAAAAAAAUUGUAUAUAAAUUCCAAUUAUAUUCAAAAUAUAUAAAUGCGCCUAGUCAUUAAAAAAAUUAUUAUCAUUAAUAUUAUUCCUAUUAAUAAUAAUAACAAUAUUAUUUAUUAUUAAUUGUUAUUAUUAUUGAUAAUAAUAAUCAUAAUAAUAGUAAAAUUAUUAUUAUCAUCAUUAAUAAUAAUAAUAAUUAUAAAAAACUAAAUUAAUCAGUAAUUUUUGUUAUAUAUUUAGUUAUAAUAUUUGUGUUCGAUUCUACUCUAACAACACAGUAAUAUUAAUAAAAAUAAAAAUAUUAAUAAAAAUAAUUGUAAUAAUAAAAUUAGUUAUAAUCAAAAUAAUGAUAUUAAUGUCCAAUCAUUGCCUAAACAGUUUAUAAAAUUUUAAUACCUAAUGAUAUUUGUUGAUAAUUUUUGAAUGUUCUUUCCUCACAAAUAACGUGGUAUCUAUAUAUUGUCAGAACAACUGGUCAUUUAUAAUUCUCUCGGUGUGCUCUGGAAGUUUGUUUGCUGCAGAUUUAUUGCAGCUCAAUAGAGGACGCAAUGCUGCAGAUGAUGUGAAAGAAUUAAUUGCAGUAGGUGUUUCAACCACAACUGAUGAAGUUCUUUUAUAUCACGAACAUAUGGAUGGUGGCCUGAUUGUGAUUUUGGUUGAGUGAUACAAGGUGCAAUCUUGGUACACAGGAAUAAAGCUGAAGAUCUCGGCAGGAAGUAAUUCUGGUUGCUGCUAUAGGUAGUUGAGAGAGGUAGCACCAGUUAUUAAGCUUUGGAUGUGGAGGUUGUGUUGCAAGCCACUCGUUAAGGUAGUUGUCAAGUUGGUGGGAGGAUUACGUUGGUUUUCUGGUGGUUUUGAAAUCCUGUUUAGUGUUAUUUGCACCAGUCCAACAGAAUAAUAGAAACAGAAUGGAGGCUGGUGUAGGUUGUUUAUUUAUGCAGUAGUUUUUAUUUUCCUCCUAUUUUGGGGAGUUCUUUUUAGAGGUCUUAAAACAUGAUUGAGAGUGUGUAAAGGGUUAGGAUAUCCUUUUCUAUCUCUCUUAAUUUAAUUUCAUUCCUGAUAAAAGAAAAUGUAAUAUAUAAUUCAAUAACAUUUUUAACGUGACGCAAAACACGGAAGAUAUUCCAGCUACAUUUUCUUUGGCUCUCGUCUAUACACGUAAGUGAGAGAGUGACUAUGCGGUUCCUACAAACCAUGCAUGCAACGUACGAGAAAUCUCAUAUCUAUUCAAUCAUAUCUAUUCAAAAUCUACCCCCAACAUAGCACAGUUACAAAACUGAAAAGUGUGUCUGAAUUACAAUAUUAAAAGUAUUUAGUCUCGUACAUGAUAAUGAGUAGCAAUGUGUACUAAAAAUACUUAUAUGAACUAAUUCUAGUAUUUCGAAUUUGAUAGAAAUUAAAAAUUAACUAGUACAUUAGGAAAUACUUUAAUUUUAAUUCGUUCAAUUUUAUUGAUAAAACUAUCUUAAAAAAAAUUCCGUCAUUAUGAUUGGAUGAUAAUCGUUAAUUUAUAAAAUUCAUAUUACUAGAAAAGAUUUCAUUAGUGUAACAUGUUUACAUGAAAAAGGAAAACUUAUCUUUUCACACUAAAACACACACUUUACAAUUCUUUAUAAUAAUAUUUUUAAUUAAAAAAUAAAAUAAAAAUAAUAAAAAUAUUAAUAUUUUAGGAUGUUACAUUUCACAACUCUUUAUAAUAAUAUAAUAAUAUUUUAAAUCAAAAAAUAAAAUAAAAUAAAAUAAAAAUAUUAAUAUAUCACUUCUCAAUAAAAAAAAGUUGUCAGAAAAAUAUAUUAUUAAAUUUUGAAUAUGGUAAAUAAAACAAUAAGCAUUGAACAUCCCUUAUUUAAUUCCUUCUAUGUGCAAGCAACUUUUUCUUGUAUAAAAAAGUUCUAGUCUCUAUACUUCUGCACUCAGGAUGUUAACAUAAAGGAAAUAAUCUCGGAUGCUGAUAUGUUACCACUAAAAAAAAUCUACUUCUCAAAUUAAUAAAAUAAUAUUUUAAUCAUAUUUAAUUUAUUUUUUAAUUUUAAAUAUUAUAUUAUUAUUAUAAGAUGACUUUUUUUAUAUAUAUUUUACUGUGUAUGAUGUGGAAGAAAUCUUUCCCAACAACCUCAUUCUUCAAAUAUAUUUUUUUUUAAUAAAACGUUAUAUUAUAAUAAAAUAAUAAUUUAUUGAAAUAUAAAGUAAAUGUUCCAGUUAAGGAUAUCAAAGAAUGAGUGGUCUAACAUCAGACUCCAGACUACUAUAAAUUAGGGACUCCGCAUUGCUCUUUCUCAAAUUACAAUUCUCAUAUCAACAACAAACCAUACAUAGAAAUGAAGUAUCUAAGCUCCUACUUUACCUUUGCUACUGCCAUUGCACUCUUUUUUUCCUUUCAACCUUCUUCAGCAGAUUCUCAUGAAAACUUUGUUCGAUGUCUUUACAAUUAUCCCCACAUCACCAACACAAUCUCCAAUGUUGUUUACACCCAAACCAACUCUUCAUACUCCUCUCUCCUAGAUCAUACCAUUGAAAUUCGUAGAUUCUCCAACUCAAGCUCAAAACCCCUUGUCAUUGUCACACCACUGGAUGUUUCCCAAAUUCAAGCAACUAUAAUCUGUUCCCAACGCCAUGGCCUACAGAUUCGAACCCGAAGUGGAGGCCAUGAUUACGAGGGUCUCUCCUACGUUGCCCAGGUUCCAUUUGUCCUCCUUGACCUCUUAAACCUUCGAGAAAUCACAGUUGACGAAGAAAGCCGAACUGCAUGGGUUCAAUCUGGGGCAACCCUAGGUGAACUUUACUACAGCAUUAGCCAAAAAAGCAAAACGCUAGGGUUCCCAGCUGGUUCGUGCGCUAGUGUGGGCAUUGGUGGCCACUUCAGUGGAGGUGGUUAUGGAUUCAUGAUGCGUAAGUACGGUCUUGCUGCAGAUAAUGUCAUAGAUGCUCACAUAAUCGAUGUGAAUGGUAACCUUCUUGACAGACAAGCCAUGGGUGAGGAUCUGUUUUGGGCCAUUAGAGGAGGUGGUGGAGCAAGCUUUGGAGUCAUUGUGUCUUGGAAGGNNNNNNNNNNNNNNNNNNNNNNNNNNNNNNNNNNNNNNNNNNNNNNNNNNNNNNNNNNNNNNNNNNNNNNNNNNNNNNNNNNNNNNNNNNNNNNNNNNNNCUGGUUCCAGUUCCAUCAACUGUGACAGUGUUCAAUGUUUCAAGGACAUUGGAAGAGAAUGCAACCGAGAUCAUUCAAAAGUGGCAGCUUGUGGCCCAUAAAUUGGACGAACGCAUAAUGAUUAGGGUGGACAUAGCAAGGGUUAAUUCAAGUCAACAUGGAAAGCUAACAAUACAAGCCAGUUUUGUGUCCUUGUUUCUGGGAGGAGUAGAAGAGCUUAUUCCAUUGAUGCAAAACAACCUCCCAGAGUUGGGUUUGGACAGAAACGACUGUAAAGAGACGAGUUGGAUUGGGUCAGCUAUUUUCACCAAUGCUGUGUUGAUUGGAUCUUCAGGGAAUGAAUCCCCCGAAUCUAUGCUCAACCAAACUCAAAUUCGUUCUGGGUAUUUCAAAGCAAAAUCUGAUUAUGUGAAACAACCCAUUCCUAUUGAGGGAUUACGAGGAUUAUGGCGUUUGCUUUGUGACGUUAAGGUUGAAUAUGCUCAACUUCAAUUGGCUCCUUAUGGGGGCAGAAUGUAUGAGAUUUCGGAAUCUGAAAUUCCAUUUUCUCACAGAUCUAGAUACAUAUUUCAUAUUCACUAUAACACCAAAUGGCAAGAGGAAGGGGACGAGAUAGCACAAAGGCAUAUGGAUUGGAUUAGAAGACUCUAUAAAUAUAUGGAACCUUAUGUUUCAAAUUCUCCAAGAGCUGCAUAUAUGAAUUACAGAGACCUUGACAUUGGGGUAAAUAACAAUGGCUACACAAGCUACACCCAAGCCAAAAUCUGGGAUUUGAAGUAUUUCAAUAAUAAUUUCAAGAGAUUGGCUAGAGUGAAGACCAAGGUGGAUCCUGACAAUUUUUUCAGAAACGAACAAAGCAUUCCUAUACUGUCGAUGGAAGAAUAUUAAAUUAUUUUUAAACCAUCUAGUAUGUAAAAUUCAAAUAAAAUAAAUUUAAUGAAUGGUAACUCAAAUGUUUAAAAUUACGUAGACUAAAUAAUAGUGUUCACAAAAAUGCCAAGUUAUUAGAGUUGCAUUGACAAAAAAAAAGCAAUCUGGAAGACUACUCUAACAAAGUUAUUUUUUUUAAAAGUUGACAACGUAAAAUAAAUAACUUUUUAAUUUCACAACUCUUUAUACUAAUAUAAUAAUAUUUUAAAUUAAAAAGUAAAAUAAAAUUAAUUAAAAUAUUAAUAUUUUAGAAUGUUAAGUGUAUAUUGAUUAUGUGAAAAAGUUGUCAGAAAAAUAUAUUAUUAAAUUUUGAAUACUGUAAAUAAAACCAUAAGCAUUCAACAUCCCUUAUUUAAUUCCUUCCAUGUGUAAGCAACUUUUUCUUAUAUAAAAAAAGCUCGAUCCUACAUACCGAUAGUUAUUAAAAAUAUUUAUUUCACUGAGUUUUUCUUUAUUAAAUAUGAAAUAAACUUCUUUUAAAAUGUAUCCGUGUCGGAUGCACAUAUUGGUGUCGACACUCGUAGGACACUUAACGGUUAAGUAUUCAAUUCAAAAAAUAUUUGUUGUAUUUUUUAAAAUUCUAGCAUGAUUUUAACACAAUUUUAAAAGGUAUAAAUACAAUAAUUUUCUAAAAACUCAAAUUUUUGUAUAAAUUUUUAUUAAAAAUAAGGAACAAAUUCUUUUGAACCAGUCAUGAAAAAUAUCUUACAUUCUCUCAAAGGAAUAUGAAACAUAUUUUUCCACAUAAAUAUUUAUUUUCAAUUUAUAUAAUUCAAAAUUAUAUAAUAUAUAGAAUCGUGUCCCCGUAUCCUACAUUUUAGAAAUUAUACGUAUUUUCGUAUCCGUGUCAUGUCACUGUCCGUAUCCAUAUCUAUACUACGUAUCAUUAAAUGGUUAAACAUGGGUGUUGAUAUAUAUUAAUACUCUCUAUACUAAAAACAUUCACUUUAUAUCAUAAUAAAUUAAUAUCUUAUUUUAUUUAUUUAAUAUCAAAUGUAUAUCAUGUACUUUAAACAAAAUUUGGUCAAAAAAAAUACAUACAUUGGCCCAUUUGUCGCAUCUUGCUUAAAAUAAUAUAAAAAGCAAUAUUAUAAUAAAAUAAUAAUUUAUUGAAAUAUAAAGUAAAUGUUCAAGUUAAGGAUAUCAAAGAAUGAGUGGUCUAACAUCAGACUCCAGACUACUAUAAAUUAGGAACUCCGCAUUGUUCUUUCUCAAAUUACAAUUCUCAUACAGAGAAAUGAAGUAUCUAAACUCCUACUUUACCUUUGCUACUGCCAUUGCACUCUUUUUUUCCUUUCAACCUUCUUCAGCAGAUUCUCAUGAAAACUUUGUUCGAUGUCUUUACAAUUAUCCCCACAUCACCAACACAAUCUCCAAUGUUGUUUACACCCAAACCAACUCUUCAUACUCCUCUCUCCUAGAUCAUACCAUUGAAAUUCGUAGAUUCUCCAACUCAAGCUCAAAACCCCUUGUCAUUGUCACACCACUGGAUGUUUCCCAAAUUCAAGCAACUAUAAUCUGUUCCCAACGCCAUGGCCUACAGAUUCGAACCCGAAGUGGAGGCCAUGAUUACGAGGGUCUCUCCUACGUUGCCCAGGUUCCAUUUGUCCUCCUUGACCUCUUAAACCUUCGAGAAAUCACAGUUGACGAAGAAAGCCGAACUGCAUGGGUUCAAUCUGGGGCAACCCUAGGUGAACUUUACUACAGCAUUAGCCAAAAAAGCAAAACGCUAGGGUUCCCAGCUGGUUCGUGCGCUAGUGUGGGCAUUGGUGGCCACUUCAGUGGAGGUGGUUAUGGAUUCAUGAUGCGUAAGUACGGUCUUGCUGCAGAUAAUGUCAUAGAUGCUCACAUAAUCGAUGUGAAUGGUAACCUUCUUGACAGACAAGCCAUGGGUGAGGAUCUGUUUUGGGCCAUUAGAGGAGGUGGUGGAGCAAGCUUUGGAAUCAUUGUGGCUUGGAAGGUAAAACUGGUUCCAGUUCCAUCAACUGUGACAGUGUUCAAUGUUUCAAGGACAUUGGAAGAGAAUGCAACCGAGAUCAUUCAAAAGUGGCAGCUUGUGGCCCAUAAAUUGGACGAACGCAUAAUGAUUAAGGUGGACAUAACAAGGGUUAAUUCAAGUCAACAUGGAAAGCUAACAAUACAAGCCAGAUUUAUGUCCUUGUUUCUCGGAGGAGUAGAAGAUCUUAUUCCAUUGAUGCAAAACAGCCUCCCAGAGUUGGGUUUGGACAGAAACGACUGUAAAGAGACGAGUUGGAUUGGCUCAGUUGUUUUCUACAAUGCUUUGUUGAUUGGAUCUUCAGGCAAUGAACCCCCCGAAUCUAUGCUCAACAAAACUCAAAUUCGUUUUGGAAAUUACAAAGGAAAAUCUGAUUAUGUGAAAAAACCUAUUCCUAUCGAGGGAUUACGAGGACUAUGGCGUUUGCUUUGUGACGCUAAGGUUGAAUAUGCUAUACUUCAAUUGGCUCCUUACGGGGGCAUAAUGAACGAGAUUUCAGAGUCUGAAAUUGCGUUCUCGCACAGAUCUCAAUACAUUUUUCAUAUACACUAUUGGGUCACCUGGCAAGAGGAAGGGGACGGGAUAGCACAAAGACACAUGAAUUUUAUUAGAAGAGAGUAUAAAUAUAUGGAACCUUAUGUUUCAAAUUCUCCAAGAGCUGCAUAUAUAAAUUACAGAGACCUUGACAUUGGGGUAAAUAACAAUGGUUACACAAGCUACACCCAAGCCAGCAUUUGGGGUUUGAAGUAUUUCAAUAAUAACUUCAAGAGAUUGGCUAGAGUGAAGACCAAGGUUGAUCCUGAAAAUUUUUUCAGGAACGAACAAAGCAUUCCUAUACUGUCGAUGGAAGAAUAUUAAAUUAUUUUUAAACCAUCUAGUAUGUAAAAUUCAAAUAAAAUAAAUUUAAUGAAUGGUAAACCAUCUAGUAUCUACCAUUCAAAUAAAAUAUGUUGUUACGCUUCUAAUUUAUGUUUUUGAGAGUAAUUCAAAUGUUUUGAAUUACUCUUAAUAAUAGUGUUCAAAAAAAUGUCAUGUUAUUAUUAGAAUAUUAUUGACAAAGUGCAAUAUUAUUAGAGCUGAUGACUACUCUAAAAUGAUAAAAAAAAGUUGAUAAACAUAAAAUUAUUAGAUUUAAGAGAGUCAACUUUGCUAACUCUAAGUCAACAUUAACUUUUCAAUAAAUAAAAUAAAAGUAUACGUAUCAAUGUCAAAUUAAUAUUGGAUUAUCUAAAACUAAUAAAGCUCACUUAAUAAUAUUAUAGUAUAAUAAUGUAAUUCUUUAAUAAAUAAAAAUAUUUAUGUUAAUGUUAAAUUAGUGUCAACUUAGUCGAUACUAGUUGGAGUCAAUAUUAUUUAUUUAUUAUUUAUAUUUAUUAAGUUAGUGCAAGUUAGAUCAAAGACAGAUCAAACAAUCUAUUAAGAUGUAAAUUUGUUAUACAAUCUUGUAAUAUUAAAAUUGUUAGACGGUCUAUCAGUGUCAACCUCAUUAGACAAUACCUGGGUGUUUCUGUGUUAUUAAAAGAAUAGUAAAAAACAUAUAAAGCAUUGAUUCAUUAAAAUAUCCAACUAUGCAUAGAUCCACAUUUUUUUUAUCGAUAAGAAAGAAUAAAUAAAUAUGAACCAUUUCAGGGGUGAUCAAACCCUUAUACAUAACACUACCUCCCAACGACUGCAAAGGGCACACCCACCUACACCCAAACAAGGAAAACAAAACUCAAAAACACAUUUAGAUCUAAUACAUGCAAGCUAAAGGAUCAAGACACCAUUCAAAAUAAGAGAAAACAACUGAAGGUACCUUGGAGACAACCCACGACCAAGACUUUAGUUGUAAAGCGUAAACACUUUCGAAACAUCCAUCACUCCCCCUUUAAAAAUUACCUUAUUCCUGCGCCUCCAAAUCUCAUUUAAUACAAUAAUCCAGAUGGUUCCCCAAAUCACAUUAAAAAAUUCUUAUGCAUUACACAUCCUAAACUGUAGGAAGUGAAAGAAAGCAUCAGAGUGGUCCACGGAUGCCAAACCUAACCAAGCGUAAGACUGACUCCUUUCCAGCCAAGCUAUUCUGCACUAAAAAACAAAUGACUAUAAGACUCCUAUUCCACCCUGCACAUAAUACAUAAAACAUUUAUGAGCUCUACCCCUCUCCUUACCAAAUUUCCUUUGGUGGCUAACUUAAUUUCAAAGACCCUCCAAGCAGUAACUUGGGCCGAAGGCAAAGCCUUAGUCUUCCAAAACAUAACAAACCCAAUAUUGAUCCCCCCUUCAGGCUCACCCCUUAAGAGAACAUAAGCAGAAUUAAUUGUGUACAUAUAGAACUCACCAUUCUUCCAGACCCAGUCAUCAUCCAUAUCCAAAACUAGCCUCAGUCCUUGGAGCAUCUAAAAAACUUUCCUUUCUAGAUCAUUUUCCCACUCGAACAAGUUCCUUCUCUAAAGAAGAUUCCACUUCCAAACUCCGUCAACCCAAUACCCACACUCAACCACUUUAGACUUUGGUAGACAGCUUAAAGAACACAAUCUUGAAAAAACACUCUUCAGGUUACCGCGCCCCUCCCAAUUGUCUUCCCAAAAACUGAUAGACUUCCCAUUUCCAAUAAUAAAAAUAUUAAUAUUUUAGGAUGUUACAUUUCACAACUCUUUAUAAUAAUAUAAUAAUAUUAUAAAUUAAAAAAUAAAAUAAAAAUAAUUAAAAUAUUAAUAUAUCACUUCUCAAUAAAAAAAAGUUGUCAGAAAAAUAUAUUAUUAAAUUUUGAAUAUGGUAAAUAAAACAAUAAGCAUUGAAAAUCCCUUAUUUAAUUCCUUCCGUGUGCAGGGAACUUUUUCUUGUAUAAAAAAGCUCGAUCCUACAUACCGAUAGCUAUUAAAAAUAUUUAUUUAACUGAGUUUCUCUUUAUUAAAUAUGAAAUCUAACAAAAAUUAGACAUUGGUCCACAUAAGUUAAAAUAAUGUAAUUUUUUUAGCGUUUACAUUUUUUUUAUUAACAAAAAGAAUUAAAAAUUAAAAAUAAAUCACUUCAGGGGUGCUUCUACCCUUAUACAAACAACACUUUAAACUCUUUCUCACUCCCAAGAAACACCUACUGAACAAACAAGACCACAAUACUAACAUAAGACACUCACAUCAAAAGAUCUAAAAGUCAACCUCAUACAAAUCAUCGGAUCGAAACACCAAUUAGAAAAAGAAAACAUCCUAAAAUGAGACUUAGAAUAAAUCAAAGACCAAACUUUAACUUGAACCAUUGCAAACAUUUCAGACACAUCGGUCUUUCCCCUAUUAAAAUGACAUUGUUCCUGUGUUUCCAAAUUUCACUCACGACUCCAACACAAAUUGGGGAGGGAAGUUUGAAGAUCGUUUGAAUUUGGAGGUCGGAAACGGGAGAGAGGUUAUGUUUUGGUCAGACAAUUGGAUAGUCUCAGAAGGCUUGAAGAGUAGAUUUCCAAGGUUAUUUUAUUUGUUUGUUAAUAAGGAGGCAAAUUUAUGUGAUUGUGGAAUAUGGGAGAACGGGACGUAGGAGUGGAACCUAAGGUGGUGAAUGGGCCUGUUCGCUUGGGAAGAGGAGCAAGAAAGUAAACUUUUAGAGUUGACCUCUAAGAAGACGCUAGAGAUGGAAACAGUGGAUAUAUGGGUUUGGAAGGAUGGUGAUUCAACAGAGUUUUCAGUUAAGUCCUUUUAUGGGUUUUUUAAGGGAGAAGGAAGUGAGGAAGACUUAAAAAGAUAUAAAUUUUUCUGAAAAAUUAAGGCGCUCCCCUCAGCUCAAUCACAACAUGGAGAGUGAUUGAAAACAAGGUUGCUUGUAGGGUUAAUCUGGAGAGAAGAGGAAUCGGGAUCGAGAGUAAUUUGUGUUGCUUGUGUAGGAGGUCAGAUGAGACAACAAAUCAUUUGUUCUGUGAAUGCAUAGUUGUUUGGCUAAUUUGGAAUCUUUGUUAUGACUGGUUAGGAAUAAAAUCAAUUGAUUGUAUGGACCUGGGUCUCAUUUUGAACAUUUCAAGAUUCUAGAUGCACCUAUUUCAGUUAAUCUUAUUAUGGACAACUUGUGGAUUGCGUGGGUUAGCGAGAUAUGGAGGCACAUGAAUAACUGUUUAUUUAGGUGGAGUGGUUGAUCAUACUGAGGUUUUCUCUCUGACACAAAUUAAGGUUUGGUCUUGAAUCUCAUCAAAGAUACCGUCAGCUAAUUUCUCAUAUGAUUGGUGUCUUGAACCCUUGCUAUGUAUGCAUUCAAUUUAGUUUUAUUUAAAAGGUUGAUCCUCGUGAUUCUUUUAUGUUUGGUAGAGAUGAGAUAGACAGUAGGAGGUAUUUUUGAUUGAGAUGUAGAUGGAAAGGUUCUUUGGGAGCAUCAUUUUGCUGUAUAAGGAUUGAACCACCCCUGAAGUGGUUUCAUUUAAUUUCAUUACUAUUUGCUGAAAAAUAAAGCAUAAUAAUUAAGAAUUAGUGUCUAAAACAAUCUCCUUUUUUUCUCAUUAACAUGUAUUCAAAACCUUAUAUAUUGUGUACAGUUGUGACAUUCAUAGAAAGUCUCUCUGUAUCUAGUGUGGUAGAAAUUGAAUAGCAUCCUCCUUCCAUCCAACCUUUAUUAUGCUCUCUUGCACAAUAUAUUAUCCAUAAACCCUAUGAUGAUCUACAUUUGCAAUAAAUUGCUACAUAUCCAUGUUUUUCUUUUUCAAACUUUUACUUACCUUUUCUCUUUUAUUUUCUACAACCCUAUUCUUGAAUUUCUUGCGUUUUAAGAAAGAUUCUAAAAAUGUUCACAAGUCACUAUGUCUUUGUUCCUUUUGGCAUUCCAACUUUCAAGCUGUAAUAUUGUUGAUGACACUGAUUUUUCUUCUCACCACAGGGAGACUAUGACAAAGUUGGGGUGUAUUACAUGGCAUUUUUCAAGGAAGUCAACAAGCCCCACGAAUUUAUAUUUCCUUAAUAUGGUCAGUUGCUCAAUAAUGUUUGAAACUCUACCAUUUCUCCAACUUUGAAUGUACAAUUAUUAGAUAUGAAAGCCAAUGUUGUAAAAUCUUCAUUUGUUACAUGCUUUUGUACCUACCUAUUGACACUUUAAUAUGUUUAUUGUGUUCUUUAAAUAAUUAAUCUGCUUUUGUUUAAUGACGUGAUUUAGAAGUUAUUUUCAAUAUCUCUGAUAUUUUUGAAAAUUAGUUUCUAUUUAAUUUUACACUUUAGAAGAUUCUUACUAUCUAUGUUACAAUCCUACAACUAACUAUCUUUCAUCCCUUCUCGAUCCUAUAUGAAAUCUUCAUUUUGACAACAUUGCUUCAACAUUGCUCACUUAAUUCACUAUUUUAAUUUUUAUUGCUUCCAGGUAUGAGACAAGUGCAGGUAAAGUUGGGAGAUUUUAAAAGUGCACUAAACUUUGAAAAGGUCCUAUAGGUAUACCUGGAUAAUUGUGAGACAUUGAAGGUAAGUGCUUCAAAUUGAAAGAAAUUUUAGUUCACAACCCUCUCCCUCUCUUGCAUCAUUUCUCUUUCUAGGACUUGAAUGCUUUUGUAGGAACAACCUAAGACUAAUUUAACAUCUAACAUUAGGUAUGCCAUAGUGAAAGGUGCUAGAUUGGAUAAAAUCAUUUGGGUACACCUCUUUCUCUUUGGAGAAAUUGGUUUAGACCAUAAAUUGUAAAACAAUCUUUAAAAUCAUGCAUCGUUGAACUUCAAUAACUCUUAAUUUCAUGAUCAUAUAUUUAUGUAUGCUAACAAGCUUGCACUAAUUGUUUUCUUCAAAUCUGUUUGGGAAAUUCAUGGUAAAAAUAUUAGUUAAAGAAGGAUUGGUUUACAAAAUGCGAAAGAUUUAACAUUCUUACAGAGACCUUGACAUUGGGGUAAAUAACAAUGGCUACACAAGCUACACCCAAACCAAAAUUUGGAGUUUGAAGUAUUUCAAUAAUAAUUUCAAGAGAUUGGUUAGAGUGAAGACUAAGGUGGAUCCUGACAACUUUUUCAAAAACGAACAAAGCAUUCCUACGUUGUCCAUGGAAGAAAAUUAAAUUAUCUUUAAACCAUCUACUGUUAUAUGUUUUUAAUUUAUGUUUGUGAGAGUAACUGAAAUGUUUAAAAUUACGUAGACUAAAUAAUAGUGUUCACAAAAAUGCCAUGUUAUUAGAGUUGCAUUGACAAAAAACAAAAAAGCAAUCUGGAAGACUACUCUAACAAAGUUACUUUUUUAAAAGUUGACAACCUAAAAUAAAUAACUUUUUAAUUUAUAUUUUGUUAAACAUGUACGUUAUUAAACUAACAUUAACUGUAGUAUAAAGGGAACUUAGUAAAUUCUAUGUCGAUGUUAAGUUUUCAAUAUAUAAAAUUAUAUGUGUCAAUGUCAAAUUAAUAUUAACUUAACCGACACAAAUAUAAUUCACUUAAUAUUAGAUUGAAAUAGAGUAGGUUGUUAGUGUUAAAUUAGUAUGAACUUUAUCAAAAUAUUAACUAAUAUAAAUAUUAAAAUAAGUAAGGUUCGCGUAGAUAUAGGUGAUGCUAAUAUUAUUUAUUAUUUAUUUUUAUUAUUUAUAUUUAUUAAGUUAGUGUAAGUUAGAUCAAUAUUUAUAAUGAAAUUGUCUCAUUUUUUUUAGGUAUGUAUAAGGGUUGAACCACCCCUUAAGUGAUUUCUGUUAUUGAAUUUUUUUUUUAUCAAUAUUAAUUUUUUUUAUUACUUAUUUAAGUUAGUGGCAAUUAAGUCAACAUUAAUAUAAUAUAUUUUUAAUAUUUAUUUAAGUUAGUAUUCGAUAAAAUGAUGUUAAUUCAUAUGUUAUGAAUUUAUAUGUAUUGGUGAAAACGAAUAUGAACCAUGAAUUAUUUUUAAUCAAAAGGCAUUCAUAAUUUGGAAGUGAAGAUGAUCCUCAAUUAUCAUUUAUAAUUUCUUGAGUUUUAAAAAAUUACAUAAAAAGAAAAUAAUGUAAUGUAUAAACAGGAAGAACCAUAAUGUAGAUUUUUCUUUUGUAAAAUGGUUACAACAACUAUGAGUUCAUAUGAAAUUCUCUUAUGUUAAUGAAAAAAACAAUGAAUUAGAAUAAAUGCAUUCUUAUAUGCACACACAAAUAAAAAGGACAAUACUUGAUUUUGAGAUAACAAAAUUUUUGUAUAAACAACAUUUUUGGUAAAAUUUACAUCUUCACCUUUAAGGUGUCGUUCUUUAAUAAGAUUUUUUUGUUAAAGGCUGAAAAAACCUCUUGAAAAUGCAACAUAUAAUUGACCAUGACUAAAAUCGUGUCAUGACUGGUAAAUUCCAACAUUAUGUAUAGUUUGUCCCUAUAAUUUAUCAUAGCAAUGACAAGACUUAUUUUCACGGGAAAUGGCUUCCUAAGAAGAAUAAAUGGAAGACUUGCAUUUUCUGUUGUUUUAUGUUUAAUUCUAGGUGAGAAAGAUCUUUCUCCAACAUGAUGACCUAUUAAGAUUUCAACAUCCAACAUGUUCAUGUAGAAUCCACAACAUAGUAAUCUUGUACCAUUACAUAACACAAAUUUAGGGUCUAUGUUUCACAAGAACAUUAAUGGUGCCCCUUUUUUAAGGUUUAAAAUAUGGGGUGGCAAGCCAUUUGGAGCAAUGGAGUGCAAGUACUCUUAUUGGUAUAUAUUAUGUGUGUCUCCUUCAACCUCAUCAAAAGAUAAUAAAUGGUGUUGUUUUCCCGAAUAAUUAUCGAUAAUUAUGUCAUUAAUUUUUCAGCAACUUCAUGUUUUGGAGUCAAUACUCUUUGAAUCAUAUAAGAUGCAAUUCAUAUAUGAAAUUGCAAUUGGGAAAAUGUUUCUUGUAUAAGUUUUUGUAUUAAACUCACUCAUUCCCAUGGUAUUGCUAGUUAAUGGAGUAUUUUCACCAUUUUUUUUAUUAGUAAGGAAUAAAUAAAAUAAAGUGAGGCACUUAAAGGGUGCCACAAUACAACCCUUAUACAAAUAAUCCCAACACAAGCUUCUUAUUACCCAACCAACUGGGGGUCGAUCCAAUAGACAUUACAACACCUUAACAACAUUAACAUACCAUAAUAAAAUACAAGAACCCAUCAAUAUACAAUUAUUUCAACCCUCCAAAGGAACACAUUCUCAAGACAAAACACAAAAGUCCAGCAACUAAACUAAAUCUUUGUCAACAAACAGAAGUAAACCAAACACUCAAGCGCCAAACCGAUCAAACCGACCCUGCGAUGAGGAUAUAGAAGUCAAAAAUCCUGCACAAAACACACCACAUCUUCCAAAUCUGGAAAAAUAAUUGAACAAGAAUCAUCAAACAUCAGUCUCUUAAAUAUCUCAUAACAUAAAAGUUUCAAACACCAAUCCGAGUAGGAUAAAUCAACCAAUCUUUCCUUUACCAUAACCCAAGACCAAAAUUGGAGUAUUUUCACCAUUUCAUCAAGAAUUGUAGGUUCAAUCCUGUCUCUGAUGUGCUUGAGAUAUUCUACAAAAUUGUUAUCUUGUAAUGAUCUUAUGUUUUGUUGUAAAUGCAACACCUUUGUGUUACUUCAUAAAGGAGAUUUUACAAUGCAUUCAUAAAUCAUUUCUAUCUUUGUACUAUUUUGAACGAUUAACAAUACUUGACAAAAAUCUCCUCCUAAUAUUAUCACUUUUACCUCAAAUGGAACAUCACAACUAGAAUCUCCUUUAAUGAUCGAUCUUAUGUCUUCAAAGCAUAUUUGUUAGUCAUGGGUGUUUUAUCACAAAUAAUUGUUUUGUUUCUCUCAGUAGCUUUGCAAGAUCAGAUUAUUUGCUUAUUGAACAAAAUUAACUAAAAAAUGUGAAAUUCCACUACUAGGUAAUAAUGUUGAUGCUAUACUAGAGAAGGUUGUUCUCCUUCGGUUGGGUUGUUUGUUGUUCUAAGCUUCUAUUGUUCUUUUUUCCCUUGUUGUGGUUGCAAAGAAAUUGUAUUGGGUUUGGUUUUGAGUUUGUACGGGUUAGAUUUGAAUUUGUACGGGUUAGUUUUGAAUUUGUACGGGUUAGUCUUGAAAGUAUACAAGCUGUACAGGUUUUUAGUGGUAAAUUUGUUUGUCUCUCUAUUUGUUGGUUUGGGAGACCAGAUAAAUUGUCUCAUUUUUUUAGGUAUGUAUAAGGGUUGAACCACCCCUUAAGUGGUUCCUGUUAUUCAAUCAUUUUUGCUGAUAAAAAAAAAAUUAGAGAAGGUUGUUGCUAAAAUAAUUUUUCCUUUGUAAUAUGCAACUUAUGUACAGUAAAUGAAUGUUUUACUAGUUCCUCUUGGUCCAUCCACACAAAAUACUUGACUUUGCUUACAAUGGAUUAUAUUUAAAAUGGUAUUAAAAGCAGUCAAAUGAUCAAUAUUUAACACUACAAAAAAACUUGUAUGUGGUAGCGGUUAUUAAAAACCGCUACAGUUAGUUGUAUAAUACGACAACUUCAUAAUCGCCAUAAUUUUUCUUUGAAGUGUGGCAUGUAGAAUCACCAUAACUAUCAUUUUAAAUAAAUUUUCUUCCGCAUUUUGUUCCCUAAGUAACCUUCCUUUUUACUAAUGUUUUUUUUCGUAUUCCCUUCUUUCAUUUUUAAAAGUAUACCACUUUGACUCUUUUUUCGUAUUCGCCACUCACUGAACCUUCCCCUCUUUCGUAUUCCCCUCACUAAACCUUCUCACCGUAACACAAACCCUCUAACUGAACCUUCCUCUCUUUUGUAUUCCCCUCUCUUAAUGAACAUUUCUCACUGCAUCUGUUCUCAUUUUGUGCAACUCUUCUCUUCUCACUCUCAUUGGAAAUCCUUCACAUUCUCAAUCUCACUGAAAGCCUUUCGCAGUCUCACCACCAACCCCUUUGUCACUCUGAUAGAAAACCCCUAUUCUCACUCUUACCAGAAACUCUUCUUUUCAAUCUCACCGCAAAGUGUUCUCACUCUAACUGUUUUCAGCCUCACUGCAAACCAUCUCACCCUCUCACUCUUCGCACUGCAANNNNNNNNNNNNNNNNNNNNNNNNNNNNNNNNNNNNNNNNNNNNNNNNNNNNNNNNNNNNNNNNNNNNNNNNNNNNNNNNNNNNNNNNNNNNNNNNNNNNNNNNNNNNNNNNNNNNNNNNNNNNNNNNNNNNNNNNNNNNNNNNNNNNNNNNNNNNNNNNNNNNNNNNNNNNNNNNNNNNNNNNNNNNNNNNNNNNNNNNNNNNNNNNNNNNNNNNNNNNNNNNNNNNNNNNNNNNNNNNNNNNNNNNNNNNNNNNNNNNNNNNNNNNNNNNNNNNNNNNNNNNNNNNNNNNNNNNNNNNNNNNNNNNNNNNNNNNNNNNNNNNNNNNNNNNNNNNNNNNNNNNNNNNNNNNNNNNNNNNNNNNNNNNNNNNNNNNNNNNNNNNNNNNNNNNNNNNNNNNNNNNNNNNNNNNNNNNNNNNNNNNNNNNNNNNNNNNNNNNNNNNNNNNNNNNNNNNNNNNNNNNNNNNNNNNNNNNNNNNNNNNNNNNNNNNNNNNNNNNNNNNNNNNNNNNNNNNNNNNNNNNNNNNNNNNNNNNNNNNNNNNNNNNNNNNNNNNNNNNNNNNNNNNNNNNNNNNNNNNNNNNNNNNNNNNNNNNNNNNNNNNNNNNNNNNNNNNNNNNNNNNNNNNNNNNNNNNNNNNNNNNNNNNNNNNNNNNNNNNNNNNNNNNNNNNNNNNNNNNNNNNNNNNNNNNNNNNNNNNNNNNNNNNNNNNNNNNNNNNNNNNNNNNNNNNNNNNNNNNNNNNNNNNNNNNNNNNNNNNNNNNNNNNNNNNNNNNNNNNNNNNNNNNNNNNNNNNNNNNNNNNNNNNNNNNNNNNNNNNNNNNNNNNNNNNNNNNNNNNNNNNNNNNNNNNNNNNNNNNNNNNNNNNNNNNNNNNNNNNNNNNNNNNNNNNNNNNNNNNNNNNNNNNNNNNNNNNNNNNNNNNNNNNNNNNNNNNNNNNNNNNNNNNNNNNNNNNNNNNNNNNNNNNNNNNNNNNNNNNNNNNNNNNNNNNNNNNNNNNNNNNNNNNNNNNNNNNNNNNNNNNNNNNNNNNNNNNNNNNNNNNNNNNNNNNNNNNNNNNNNNNNNNNNNNNNNNNNNNNNNNNNNNNNNNNNNNNNNNNNNNNNNNNNNNNNNNNNNNNNNNNNNNNNNNNNNNNNNNNNNNNNNNNNNNNNNNNNNNNNNNNNNNNNNNNNNNNNNNNNNNNNNNNNNNNNNNNNNNNNNNNNNNNNNNNNNNNNNNNNNNNNNNNNNNNNNNNNNNNNNNNNNNNNNNNNNNNNNNNNNNNNNNNNNNNNNNNNNNNNNNNNNNNNNNNNNNNNNNNNNNNNNNNNNNNNNNNNNNNNNNNNNNNNNNNNNNNNNNNNNNNNNNGUAUAUCAGUAGUACAGUUUGAGGAUGGGCUGAAAUGCAUUGAAUAUGAUUUUUAAAUUGGAUUGAAUAUAUAUUGACAAAUACAAUUUGAAGGAUGUGCUGAAAUGCAUUGAAUAUGAUUUUAAUGUCAUUGUCUACAAAAAAAAUUCAUAUAUAAAUAAAAAAUUUAUAAGAAUUCCAGUUAUAUUCAAAUAUAUAAAUGCGCCUCGUCAUUACAAAAAUAUUAUCAUUAAUAUUAUUUCUAUUAAAAAUAAUAACAAUAUUAUUUAUUAUUAAUUAUUAUUAUUAUUGAUAAUAAUAAUCAUAAUAAUACUAAAAUUAUUAUUAUCAUUAAUAAUAAUAUAAUAAUAAUAAUAAUUAUAAAAAACUAAAUUAAUCAGUAAUUUUUGUUAUAUAUUUAGUUAUAAUAUUUGUGUUCAAUUCUCUCUAACAACACAGUAAUAUUAAUAAAAAUAAUUGUAAUAAUAAAAUUAGUUAUAAUCAAAAUAAUGAUAUUAAUGUCCAAUCUUUGCCUAAACAGUUUAUAAAAUUUUAAUGCCUAAUGAUAUUUGUUGAUAAUUUUUGAAUGUUCUUUCCUCACAAAUAACGUGGUAUCUAUAUAUUGUCAGAACAACUGGUCAUAUAUAAUUCAAUCACAUUUUUACGUGACGCAACACGGAAGGUAUUCCACCUACAUUUUCUUUGACUCUCGUCUAUACACGUAAGUGAGAGAGUGACUAUGCGGUUCCUACAAACCAUGCAAUACGAGAAAUGUUAUAUAUAUUCAAAAUCUACCCUAACAUAGCACAGUUACAAAUCUGAAAAGUGUCUCUGCAUUACAAUAUUAAAAGUAUUUAGUCUCGUACAUGAUCAUGAGUAGCAAUGUGUACUAAAAGUACUUAUGAACUGAUUCUAGUAUUUCGAAUUUGAUAGAAAUUAAAAAUUAACUAGUACAUUAGAAAAUACUUUAAUUUUAAUUCGUUCAAUAUUAUUGAUAAAACUAUCUUAAAAACUUUUCCGUGAUUAUGAUUUGAUGAUAAUCGUUAAUUUAUAACAUUCGUAUUAGUAGAAAAGAUUUCAUUAGUGUAACAUGUUUAAAUGAAAAAGGAAAACUUAUCUUUUGACACUAAAGCACACACUUCACAAUUCUUUAUAAAAAUAUUAAAUAAAAUAAAAAUAAUAAAAAUAUUAAUAUUUUAGGAUGUUACAUUUCACAACUCUUUAUAAUAAUAUAAUAAUAUUUUAAAUUAAAAAAUAAAAUAAAACAAAAUUAAAAUAUUAAUAUAACAUUUCUCAAUAAAAAAAAAGUUGUCAGAAAAAUAUAUUAUUAAAUUUUGAAUAUGGUAAAUAAAACAAUAAGCAUUGAACAUCCCUUAUUUAAUUCCUUCUAUGUGCAAACAACUUUUUCUUGUAUAAAAAAGCUCGAUCCCACAUACCGAUAUAGCUAUUAAAAAUAUUUAUUUAACUGAGUUUUUCUUUAUUAAAUAUGAAAUAUGAAAUAACAAAAAAAUUAGACAUUGGUCCAGUUAAAAUAAUGUAUUUCUUUUUUGGCGCUUACGUAACCUAGUAUCUACACUUAUUAUGGUUGUUGACAUUAAACUUACAUUGGUUAAAAAAAAUAUGGUUGCUGAUAUAUAUUGAUACUCUCUAUACUAAAAACAUACACUUUAUAUCUUAAUAAAUUAAUAUUUUAUUUAUUUUUAGUUAUUUUUUAAUUAAAAAUAUUAUUAUAUUAUUAUAAAUAAUAUCAAAUGCAUAUUAUUUACUUUAAACAAAAUUUUGUCAAAAAAUAUAUAUACAUUGGCGCAUGUGUCGCAUCUUGCUUAAAAUAAUAUAAAAAGCAAGUUUGGCACAUGCGGUGAUAAGUCUAGUCUCUAUACAUCUGCACUCAUGAUGUUAACAUAAUUGAAAUAAUCUCGGAUGCUGAUAUGUUACCACUAAAAAAAAUCUACUUCUCAAAUUAAUAAAAUAAUAUUUUAAUCAUAUUUAAUUUAUUUUUUAAUUUUAAAUAUUAUUAUAUUAUUAUAAGAUUACUUUAUAUAUAUAUAUAUAUAUUUUACUGUGUAUGAUAUGGAAGAAAUCUUUUCCAACAACCUCAUUCUUCAAAUAUAAUUUUUUUUAAUAAAAGGUUAUAUUAUAAUAAAAUAAUAAUUUAUUGAAAUAUGAAGUAAAUGUUCCAGUUAAGGAUAUCAAAGAAUGAGUGGUCUAAAAUCAGACUUCAGAUUACUAUAAAUUAGGGAUUCCGCAUUGCUCUUUCUCAAAUUACAAUGAAAUAUCUAAGCUCCUACUUCACCUUUGCUACUGCCAUUGCACUCUUUUUUUCCUUUGAACCUUCUUCACCAGAUCCUCAUGAAAACUUUGUUCGAUGUCUUUACAAUUAUCCCCACAUCACCAACACAAUCUCCAAUGUUGUUUACACCCAAACCAACUCUUCAUACUCCUCUCUCCUAGAUCAUACCAUUGAAAAUCGUAGAUUCUCCAACUCAAGCUCAAAACCCCUUGUCAUUGUCACACCACUGGAUGUUUCCCAAAUUCAAGCCACUAUAAUCUGUUCCCAACGCCAUGGCCUGCAGAUUCGAACCCGAAGUGGAGGCCAUGAUUACGAGGGUCUCUCCUACGUUGCCCAGGUUCCAUUUGUCCUCCUUGAUCUCUCAAACCUUCGACAAAUCGCAGUUGACGAAGAAAGCCGAACUGCAUGGGUUCAAUCUGGGGCAACCCUUGGUGAACUUUACUACAGCAUUAGCCAGAAAAGCAAAACGCUAGGGUUCCCAGCCGGUGUGUGCGCCAGUGUGGGCAUUGGUGGCCACUUCAGUGGAGGUGGUUAUGGACUCAUGAUGCGUAAGUACGGUAUUGCUGCUGAUAAUGUCAUGGAUGCUCACAUAAUCGAUGUGAAUGGUAACCUUCUUGACAGACAAGCCAUGGGUGAGGAUCUGUUUUGGGCCAUUAGAGGAGGUGGUGGAGCAAGCUUUGGAGUCAUUGUGGCUUGGAAGGUAAAACUGGUUCCAGUUCCAUCAAUUGUGACAGUGUUCAAUGUUUCAAGGACAUUGGAAGAGAAUGCAACCGAGAUCAUUCAAAAGUGGCAGCUUGUGGCCCAUAAAUUGGACGAACGCAUAAUGAUUAGGGUGGNNNNNNNNNNNNNNNNNNNNNNNNNNNNNNNNNNNNNNNNNNNNNNNNNNNNNNNNNNNNNNNNNNNNNNNNNNNNNNNNNNNNNNNNNNNNNNNNNNNNAGUAGAAGAGCUUAUUCCAUUGAUGCAAAACAGCCUCCCAGAGUUGGGUUUGGACAGAAACGACUGUAAAGAGACGAGUUGGAUUGGGUCAGCUGUUUUCACCAAUGCUGUGUUGAUUGGAUCUUCAGGCAAUGAACCCCCCGAAUCUAUGCUCAACCAAACUCAAAUUCGUUCUGGAAAUUACAAAGCAAAAUCUGAUUAUGUGAAACAACCCAUUCCUAUUGAGGGAUUACGAGGAUUAUGGCGUUUGCUUUGUGACGCUAAGGUUGAAUAUGCUCAACUUCAAUUGGCUCCUUAUGGGGGCAUAAUGAACGAGAUUUCAGAGUCUGAAAUUGCGUUCUCGCACAGAUCUCAAUACAUUUUUCAUAUACACUAUUGGGUCAGCUGGCAAGAGGAAGGGGACGAGAUAGCACAAAGACACAUGAAUUUUAUUAGAAGAGAGUAUAAAUAUAUGGAACCUUAUGUUUCAAAUUCUCCAAGAGCUGCAUAUAUAAAUUACAGAGACCUUGACAUUGGGGUAAAUAACAAUGGUUACACAAGCUACACCCAAGCCAGCAU